RNAcentral lists this long non-coding RNA (78845 nucleotides) under Sorghum bicolor (sorghum). Its description in RNAcentral is "long non-coding RNA (SBIC_LNC015781)". The stretch from base 26972 to 27078 matches the Rfam family "Plant small nucleolar RNA R71". Lineage: Eukaryota; Viridiplantae; Streptophyta; Magnoliopsida; Poales; Poaceae. The record is from RNAcentral.
AAAAAAAUAAAAAGACCAAAAAUAUACAUGAUGGAAAUGAUGAAUAGUUGCUCUGUUUGCUUACUUACAAGCACCUAGCUUUUAUAUUAGAAUUCUUCCAGGAAUUACUAAAACUAAAACUACUAUCUUUGGGAAGCAUAAAACUAAAGUCUAGGUAAAAGAAAGGCAUGAUAUAAAGUUGAGCUACUGUUUAUCCUGUUUCUACUACACUAAGUUCUGGAGAUUUAUUUUGAAAACUUACAAAUCACAUGAUGAGUUCCUAGCAUAACAAAAUUACCUACCACAGCCAUACUUGCUAUAACAUCUUUCGCUAUAUUCACAUUGAGUUUGAUCGAGCUGUGUAGACCCUUAGGAGCUUUUCAUGUGGUUAAAUUAAUAUAUUCACUUGCACACAUCUACCACAGCAUUCAUCAUCAAUCAUUAAAAUUGCUAAAAAUAUAUUAUCACUCACUGUCCCAAAUAUUGUUAUUCUCUCUCUCUAAAAAGAUUCAAUGCAGAAGAGGCAUGGGUUAUGCAAAAAUAUGCGAGGAAAUAAAAAGGGGCAAGUGCCCGGAACCUCGAAAAAGAAAGAAAAAGAGUGAGACGAGAGGUAAAAAUGGACAAGUGUCCGAAGUAGAAUUAGGGGUACAAAGAUGCCCACUUGAGCGGAAAAAAAUGGACAAGUGUCCGACAGUAGAAUUAGGGGUAUCCACUACCCACCUGAAAAAAAAGAAGAAGAAAAAGAGAUAGCCCAUGUUCUCCCAAAGCAAAGAUCAAAGAAGAAAAGAGAUAGCAAUAUGAGGAGCAAUGAGAAGUAAAUUUUAUUAUCAGUUAUGCAUUUUCACCAUCACUAUCAUUUACUCCAUCACACAUGCACAUCUUGAUUUAAUUAUAUGCUGAGUUCCUUUGGAUCCAUGGCUCGAUUAGACAACAUAUGUAUGAGCUGUUUUCCACUCCUAUAAGCUCCACUUAAAUAUUCCAUUAGCUAUAGGUAAGUGACAUUAUGGUAAGGAUCCACAAAUACCACAUAUAGAGAGGCUUAAGAGAUUAUUGCUGGGAACUCUGAGUUUUAUUUUGAAAACUUAUGAAAAAACUCUAGAACAAAAGUGAAGUAUAGACAGGAGGGAUAGUGCUUGACUUAACUAUUUUGUCUUUUAAUUACUUAAGAUUUAAGUGCAGGUACUAAACUCCAUAACACUUCACUCUAAUCUGGAAGAAUUUUUAUGUAAAAGCAUGUGUGCCUGUCAGGAAAGAAAACAUCGAAGCAACUCCUGAUCCGUCUGAGUUUAGCUGUUUGCUCAGGGACGAGCAAAUGGUAAGCUUGGGGGAGUUUGUUGACGGUCCUUAAGUACUAAAAUUAAUAAUCAAAUAAACAUGAAAAAGGAUCAAUAUAAAACAAACAUCUAGAAUUAGGGUUUUAUCUGACAGAAUUCCACGAGUUUUGGUGUUUAUCUAUUUCUGCAAGGGUUUAUCAGAAAAUAGAGAGAGAAGGCCCACAUGUCAUGUUUACAACGAGAUAAUUACGUACCGCGCAAUUUUCCUCAAUCUAGAAGGAUCCAGAAGCCAUGGGAACGAACGGGACGCGAUUCGGGCUCGGGAGCUGGGCGGCCGCCCACCCUCCUUGGGCGCCCGCCCUGGCCAGGAAGCCAAUCAGGACUCUGCUUCGGGGCAAGACUCCACCGACCUAAAGGAUCAAUCUAAACCAUACAAUCUAUGUCGGUUUGAUCCAAUGGCUCACGUUUACUUGAGGGGACUAUAAAACCAGACCCCCUGGCCCCUGGAGGAGAGGAGGAGAAAUCAUUAUUCAGAGGUAGCCAUCAAAGUUAGGGUUUAGAGCUUCUCUCCCACAGAGAAUUAGAAUUAGCUACUCCCUAAUCCUUCAAGUUUAGAGGUUGAUUAGAUAGCAAUUAGAGAAGUAGAGCACUAUGCUCUGGAUUCGGAUCUUCGGUAAUAAAGAUUGGUAUUAUUCAUAUCUUUCUCUAAUUCUAUUGUUCUAAUUGCAUUAUGUCUCUAAUUAUUAUGCUCUUAGUUUGCUCUAGUUCUAUAUUUGAUAUAGUUCUAAUUGAUAAUGAGUUUAUGUAUAAGUUUGCAAAGCGCUUAGCUCUUGACGCGAGGGAGUUAGGUGAUAGAUCACAUGUGAGCGUGGUGCUUAGAUGUUAUUUAUCUGCAAAUGUAUCCUAUUGGCCGGGUCGUGUGGUAGUUCGCGAUAGUGACAGCUUCGUUGGUUCUUAUAUAGUCCACCCUCCGUUGAUAGGACAGGCAGAACCGGUAUUGUGGAGUAAGUCAUGCGAUGCUCUGAUUUACUUUAUCAAUGUUCCUUAUACAUGAAUGAAGAGUCUUUUAUGCUAUAUAUGAUCUUGUAGAUAACUAGAGUAGAUUAUGACUUAGUAGUUAGUAGAUAACUUAGAAUCCAUUCUCUAGCUAAUCCGACAUCACCUACAUAUAUGAGUAGUCUAUUUUCUAAUUGCUGUGCUCUUUAUCCCAUGAACUUAUACUUUAUUAUCAUUAUCUUUAUGGUUUACCCCCUGCUAAAGUAUGUGACUGUGUGACGAGUUUCUCAUUAGUAAUCAUGUUCUUGCAAGUUUAUCUCUAGUCUAUGCCUUGAUAGAUUUUGUCCCUUGAUUUAAUUCCAUCUUCUUUAGAUCCCUAGAGCAAAAUUAUAAAUAACGAUACCGGGAAUACUUAUCCUGGUGAAAUGCUACAAUGAGGUGUUUUAUCUGUGCGCUUGCGGAUAGAAUAGAUUAUUUUCUAGAGAGCCUUUACAUUUAUAAAUACCUUUGUACACUCUGGCGCCAUGCUAGGGAUGACAACCAAGUAUCUAAGUGGUGUUAGCUAGUGUCAACAGGGGUCUGGUUUUAUAGUCCCUCCAAGUGAAUAUGGGCCAUUGGAUCAAACCGCCGACAUAGAUUGUAUGGUUUAGAUUCAUCCUUUAGGUCGGUGGAGAUCUCCCGCAAAGCAGAGUCCUGAUUGGACUUGGGGGCAGGGCGGGCGCCCUGUCGCUGGCCCCGUUUCACCUCCGCUUCGGUCUCGUGGCUUCUGGAGUCUUCUAGAUGUAAGAUAAUUGUGCAGCACGUUAAUAUCUUUACGUAAUCCCGACAUGUGGGCCUUUCUUCCAUAUUUCCUGAUAACCCCUUGCAGAAAUAGACAAACACCAAAACUCAUGGAAUUCUGUCAGAUAAAACCCUAAGUCUAGAUGUUGAUUUCAUUUGGAUUCUUUUCUUUAUUUAUUUGAUAAUUAAAUUUGAUACUUAAGGACCGUCAACAUUCACAAACUCAGGGGCAUAGCGAGCGAGAUUGUUGAAAGCGUGUAGAUACUCCUUCACAGAUUUUGUCCCCUGGGACAGCCUCAUGAACUCCCCGAUCUUCAUUUCCACUAACCCCGGAGGAAUAUAAUUUCCCCAAAAAGCGGUGGUGAAGCGGUUCCAGGUAAUUGGGGUCCCCUCUGGGUAGGUGGUACGGUGAUGGGACCACCAAAUCCCAGCGGGUCCUUGCAACUGAUGUGCCGCAUACUCAGCCUUAAGUUCUUCUGUCAUUCGGAGAAGACGAAACUUCUGCUCCAUAGUGUUGGUCCACUCAUCCGCUUCGAGUGGUUCCAAAGCCUCUUUGAAAAUUGGUGGCUUGGUAUCCAUGAAGUCCUUGAAUGAGCUGUACUGGUUGACUUCACGGCCGCCCUGGUUAUCCCCACGACGGGUGUUGUCAGCUAUGUUACGCAGUGCCUCUUCCAUGUUGCGUUGCAUCUGUUCCAUGUUGCGUUGGCUCCCCAGAAACUGCGCGAAAAACAUGUCCGCAGUGUACGGAGGAGGUGGUGGUGGUGGCGGUGUUGGUGCUCUGUCCUCAUUCUGUUGAGCCCCACCUCCGGACGUACCUACUCCAAGACCCGGAUUGCUGUUACCCCUGCCUCGUGUUUGCACCAUCUGCAUACGUGAAUGAUAAGCAAUAGUUAGGAGUUGCCAUCAACGGUAGAAAUGUGUAGAAUCAUGCCGUACUGAAUUUACUGAGGGAAUAAAUUCACACAAUAAACAGAGGCACAACAAUUCAUCAUCUACGCACAACAUCACUAACAAAUUACUUAACGUUCACGCAACAAGGUUCGCAUACAUCCAACUUGCCAGCAUACAUACACUGGACUUUCAGCACUAACUCAUAAAGUUUUACAUAGCCCAGAUCCAAAGGUACAAGACAUGCCAUGCAACAUACAUCUCAAAAGAAGAAGGACUAGUUCUAGAGCCCUAGCAUCUACUCGUUAUGGUCACUGUCCAUACUAGAGCCCUCCUCCUCAUCUCCACUAGCAGCUGCUCCUAUCUCAGGAUCCACGUCCAUCUCAUCCUCAGAGUCUAGCUCAGCUGCUCCGGGCAGGUGGUGAGGAUGGAGCUGGUUAUGCAGCUGGUGGAUCUCCUCAUGCAAGUUCUCAUUGUACUCCUCAGCAUUGGCUAGCUGCUGCUCUAGCUCUAGCUAUCGGGCCCUCAAAGUGUCCUCGUGCCAGGCUUCAUUCCUCUGUCCAAGCACGUGGACUAGCAUGCGCUCGCUGUUCCUGUGAGCAGUAGUCACCCUAUCCUUCUGCUCCCGUACUGCAAGCAGGUCCUGACUCAGCUCACUGUUCUUAUGGACUGCCUGAUCUCUCUCUGUGGUCACACGGGCCCACUCUGCCUGUAGCCUCUCAACCUCAGAGUCAAACUCACGCUGCAACUGACGCUUCUCAUCCUGGACGGUGAGAAGAGACCCGGACAAGCGACCCAAACAACGCUCCAGGCCUCCAUAGGUCUUCAUCAGAGCGUACAUGGCACUCAUAGCUGUACCGUCACUGUGCUGGUCCUCAUCCGCACUCCUCUCUAGAGCAUUCACCUCGGACUGAUCCCACACCGAAGUGUAGGGGUCACCCCGGGGAAACACCCCAGCGAAGGCGUGGGCCAGCUCCUGUGGAAACCUCUCCAUGAGGUCCCUCAGAACUACGAAAGCUGCCCUGCUGGCACCGUGGAAAGGCGUGACACCUCAGGACUCGUACACCCAGCCGCCCCAAGCAGGGCCUCCUCCACUGGUAGGGACAACUGCCUCGACCCCCACCAGGGUCUCGUCACCAAGCGGCUCCUUAUCCCAAUAGUAGCGAGGCUCCCUUCCUUCGGGAUACCCCAUCGAACUGAGCACCCUCCAAAGCAAAGUGGGCAUUCCAAACUCCUCCAAGAACUUGCUCUUAUGUCGUGAGCUCCUAGCUGCCAACGGAUGGCGAGGGGCCCGCCCACCAGUGGACUUGCGAGCGGUGAGCGUAGUGCGUGCCAUCUGCUGGAAAUGGAAUACCUUGGGUAAGAGCGAGGAUUACCUUUAAUUAUUUUAUUUAGAAUUGGGACAGAUUAAAUUAAGGGGGAAAGUAAGCAAUGAUAUGAAAUGAACAUGGUGCAUGCACGAACUUACGAUCUCACAAACUUAGAAAAAGAAGUUAACACUAAGCGGUAUAUGCGGUUGCACACAACGUUCUCUCAUAACGUAACUAGCGUUCUAAGCGAGAACGUGGUUAGUGUACCUACAUAAAACUCAUUUCAGCCCUCCCACAGUAUGAUCAUGCAGAACAAGAAUUUUAAACUAUACACUUCACAUACACGGACACCCGUCCAUGCAUAUGACGUGUCACAACCCACAUCAUCGCCCUAAUGACGGCAUCGCCUCUCAGGACGGAAUUCCCAACAUGCGGUACUGUUUCCAAGACACACCAAAACAUGUGUGCAUGACACAGUGCCUAACAACACUCCCCUAGACCGGCAGUGUAUCCGAUCAUGCUCUCACAGCUCCCACUUACCGUGGCGUAGAGGAAAAAUGGAUCCAUACAUUACCACUCAAAUGAAUGGUACUCAUACUAUUGCACGCCGUAUGAGCGACGAAAUAAAAUAUGAUGCAUUAACCCCCAAGUGAGUACUUAACUAGCCACCUUAGAGUCGUUAACUAGGCAUAAAGGAUAUGACCAUGGCACACUAAAUAGUUUUCCAAAACUUAGUUUGACACCUUGAUCAUCAUUAAUUAAUAAAAUCUUUUAUUAAAUCGGUUUAGAUUUUGUUUAGAACGUACUUAUGAACAGUAACUCGCUAAACCUUGCUCUGAUGCCAACCGUAACAGAACCGACCAAAUUAUAAGAGAUUAAGCCUAACGGAGACCAUUUGCAUAGUCAACCCAUCAGGCUUAAGCCCAUAUAAUCCCGGUAGUCUGUGAAAUCUCGAAGGAUUUCAAACCACACAUCGCACAACAGCCAAGAUCGUAAUAAUUUUAGCGGUCGCCAUCCACAAAUACAUCCAGAUUACAACAUUCAUAAAAUACAUCGGAGUUCUUAAAAUUAUUACAAACCAAGUUCUUCAAGUAGCGGAAGCUUCAUAGUUCGAAAAUACAACACACACAUUUAGUCUGAUACAGUGCCAUAGUUCGGUCAUUCCCCCAAAAGCAAAAGAGAAGACGGAGUGACCAUCGCCCUUGGUCUAGUCAUCACCCAUGGCUGGGUAUAGACAGAGGAUGCAAUAACCAUAGUACAUUUGACUAUCUGCAAAACAACAUGGGAGUAGAACCCUAAGUACGAGAAGGUACUCAGCUAGACUUACCCGUCAUAAACUUUAAAAAUAAAGACUCUUCAAGGAUCAUGAAGGCUAUAUAGUGGGAUAGCUGACAACCAUUUUUGCAAAACCGCAGGAUUUUACUAUCAUAACCUACAUAAAUCUUUAUUCUUUUAAUUUGCUCAAGUUGAAAGUGUCAUUACCUAUUAUCUAGGUUUGCACGUGCACUAUUACAAGCAAGUAUAGGGAUAUGAUAGUACUUCAUCAUAGCAUUCAUAAACCCUUCCAUUUUAACUCAAGUGUUCCAUAGUCCUUACUACGAGGACGAAGCUCAUGUCAAGUGCUCACUAUCCAGGAGCGAUGGCGAUUCGAAUCGAUUUCUAACCAGCUGGCGAGGUAUUCCCCACACAAACCACACUCACUGAUUAAGUGAGCUACAGAUCACCGUAUUACACUAUCCAGGACCAAUUCGCGGGUUCGGCAGGCACCGCCAGUACCCGAGGACCGUUCCGGCGACCGAGGUAUCCAAGGUAUACCAAGGUUGCGCGCCGCGCCCACGUCGUUCUCCUCAACCAUCACCAAUACAGCGCAUGGCGGCUCGAUUCCCGGCCCGGAUAGUGUUCAGGCUUCGCGGUCGGAACGACUUAUCCUUCUAGCUAAGUGUGGGGCAUGCGUUCAACAUGACAAGAGGGCCGUCAACGACCGAUCCUUAAUCGACACAGGCAGGGGCACUAUGGUCAACCCACCAUAAGACCCUGCCCGGUCUCCAAUUCCAUUCCACACUUGGUUAUUCUUUUCCCAAAGCAACCACUGCUUACCCAAGCAGGUAUCCACCUAUAUCUCGCAGGUGACAGGGGAUCACCCGACUUCUACCGGACUAAGCAAGCUAAGCAUAGACUCCGUGCCUAUCUACAUAGGACAAGGUAGGUAAACGAGUAGGGAUAACAAGGAGUACAUAUGCAUCAAUGGUAUCAAGCAAUUCCUAUCACUUAAAUGCAGUAUAGUAGAACAGCAUAGUAUAUCCUGUAAGUUAGCGAGAAUAGGGAGACUUAGAAUGCUCCGGGGCUUGCCUUUCUCAAACGUGCUGGGUCGGUGAUCCGGACACUCCUGGAGUUCCUCUCCGGGUUCCUGUACUUCCGGAGGUUCCUGCUCUUGAAUCUCCUCUGGCUCCUCGGGUCCCACCUCGUUCUCCUGCGAGCCUGUAUGAUGCAUGUGUGCUCAUGAGUGGAGUGCGAGAUGCCCGAGUGGAUGCUUGCAGGAAAAGGUACCAAAUGAUCAUGACAUGAUGCAUAGGUGAUUCACUGGGUCAUGCUCGUUACAAGGUAGUCAACAUCAUCCAAGAGUAAGCAAUUGGAUCAAACAUCUAGUGCAUUCUCUUCUACAAUUAUUUUUCAAGUGUGACCAGCAACCCACAAGUUGCUUCAAAGAUACACCAAACCCAAUCUUAUUCUAUUUAACCUAUACAUAACAAUUCAUAAUUUUCUUUAUUCAUUUCUAGGCCAUCCAAAAUUUGUAUGCAGUUCUGUUCAUCAAUAAAUUCCAUAAAAAUUACAGGAGACUACCAGUCAAGCAUAAAGUCUACUGUAAAUUUUUCAUAAUUGUUGGAUACUUAUUUUGAGCCACAAAAAUCACAAGAUUAAUUAAUAAGGUAAGUAUAAUUACUCCACUGUGAUAUAAGUGUCAAACAAUAGCUUUCAUAUUUUUACAAUUUGUCUAAUAUCAUCAGAAACACCCACAAAAUUUUCCAGAUUAAUUGCAUGAUCCAAAAUUUUAUUAAAAAUCAUAAACCACGGCCAUGCAAGCAUUUAAAUUACCAUAAAUUCAUUUAUACACCAAAUAAUGUGUAGCAAUAUUUUCCCAGUGAGUUAACAUACAUGCAGAGCCAACAAAUCAAGUUUCACAUUUUUCUGAACCAUAUUUUAAUUACUAUGCAUUUUCCAAGUUUAGCAAAAACAUGGAUUGAAUAUUUUCAUACAGAAAAGUUACUCAAACAUGACAUGCAAUUACAUCAAACUGUAGAUCUGGAAAUAUAGAACACACCAAAAUUUAUUUCAUCAAAUUUGGAGCUGUAGAACUCAAGAUAUGAAUUUUACAAGUUUUGAAUCGAUUUCUGGAAAACAUUUAUUCAAGAAAACCGACGAAAAAGGCUAAACACACCUAGAUCUACACCCACCGGGGUCCCCCUGCGACUGACAGUGGGCCUCUGGCCCCACUGUUCAGCGAGACCGAGAGGGAGCUCACCUCUGACGAGCAGAUCUCGCCGGCGGUGAGGUUCCCGGCCACGGGGUGAGCACCAUCGUGCUCCCCGCAGCGAGGUGCACCCAGCGGUACCCUCGGAUUGACCGGAGGAUGGCCGGAGCACCUCCGACGAGCGUGCAUGGCGGCACGGCGGCGCUGCUCGCUGUGGCCAGGCCGCUCCGGCGCGGUAGAGCGUGCGCAAACGGCUCUCCGAGCUUCCUCACCACCCUACCGACCUAGCGCAACCAAAAACCAGUGACAAGAGGUAGGGAAACGCAAGAUCCGUCGCGGCGGAGUACUCCGGCGAGCUCGGGGUAACUCCGGCGAGCUAUUCACGGCGCUCGACGGACUCUCACCUUGGUAGAACUCUCGCACAAGCUUACCCUAACGAUGGCGAAGGCGCUGGUGGCUUCGGUUUCGAGUUUUGGCCACCGGAGUGGCCGGCGGUGAGCAGCGGAGCUGCUCCAGCGAUGGUGCUGCGGCGGAGUUGUACGGCUCGGUUGCGCUCGUGUCGACGAAAGCUGGUCGGCAGUCUACCUUGGGGUAUACCCACGGUAGUAGUUUAUUGGUAGACGGUGCGCAAACUACGAACUCGAUGGUGACGCAAGACACGGGUAAGCUUUUUAUCCAGGUUCGGCCGCCGAGUUGGCGUAAUACCUACGUCCUGCGUCUGGUUGUAUUGAUUUGUGUUGAGAGAAUAUGAUGUCCUAGGGGGGUCCCUUGCCUCUCCUUAUAUAGUCCGAAGGGCAGGGUUACAGAUCUGGAAACUAAUCCUAGUCGGUUACAAUUGCCAUAGAUAGUUCGAUAUCAAUUCCUAUUCUAACCGACUAGAAUCCUGCUUGAUCUCCACAUCUUGUUUCCUUACGCGAAACUCCAAGCUGUCAGAUCAAACCUUGAGCUUGUCUCGUAAUGGGCCAAGCCUCCUGGCCAAAGUCUAGCCGUAAGGGUAUAGGGGUCUAUACCCCACAGCUAUUCCCCGAGCACCAUGUAUUAUGAUGUAACAUGACGUCUUGAGCUUCUUCGAUCGGUGAGGCUUGACGUCUUCAGUAAUCAAAAAAGUCGCCCAAACAGUUGCAACGGUACUUUGACCAACUCAAAAGACAGUUGAUCAACAUUGACCUCGAAGAAGCUGGUUGUUCGAAGAAUGCAUGGUGCUCUAAAAUUAAAAAAAGAUUUCUUUCCUGGUGAAGUGUGCCCACUUUACUUUUAAGAAAAGUAUAAACCUCAAAAUAGCGAGCAUAUUCACCACAAGGUGAAGUGUGCCCACUUAGUCCCCGAGCCUGGUAGUAGGUGACGUAGGUACGUGGUGCCAGGGUCAAAAGAAAAGUCCUCAAGCAAAUUCUAUAACUGAGAUGCAUCGCCAGAUGCAUCGUACCGAUGUAGUCCCCGAGCUUGCUGGAAGGCGAAGUAUGAGCCUUGUAGCAAGGUCUAAAAAAUUAAAUUUACCAGUCCGUCUGCAAUUGAAUAGACUGAUCGACCAGUCCCCGGGUAUACAACAGUAUGACCACCAGGACCCAAGCACCAAGUGCACUCCUUAGAAUUCUGCGUUGCUGUGCUGGACGACCAGUCCCCGAGCAUCAAGCGCUUAGUGGUCGGUGCAAUAUUUUGAAGUUCUGAGCUGAUGGACUAGACGACCAGUCCCCGAGCAUCAAGUGCUCGGUGGUCGGUGCAGUCUUUGAAGUUCCGAGCCGAUAGACUGGGCGACCAGUCCCCGAGCAUCAAGUUCUUGGUGGUCGGUACAGUCUUUGAAGUUCCGAGCCGAUAGACUGGGCGAACAGUCCCCGAGCAUCAAGUGCUCGGUGGUCGGUACAGUCCCCGGAUUGUUGACUCCCUACCAGUUUUGUCUGGUUGUUUUGAAAAUUUUCCACACAAAUAGUUGAUGUGACGAGACCUUCUGACGGGAUGUCAGAUGGAUGCAUGAAAAGUUGUGCCUGGCAAUUGUACAGCCGCCCUUUGCGCGGUUUGAGAAAAGGAAACCAUCAAUUUGUACGAAAACUCCGCCGCAUUAAUUGUCAAUAAUCAUUGAAAACCAAAACGCCGCAUCCGCCGUAUGGCCCGCCCACUUCCCGAGGAUGCGGGAAGUGGGAGGGGUGAAGUUGUGGGUUAUAAGAGCUCGACAGUUCCCCUUUACUGCUUACCCUACCAUUGCCUUCAAACCUUCCACUCUUGCCUCCUUCAAUCAUCUACGCCUUCCAAACUCGAAUCCACUUCCUCGACUCCAAUGGCGAAGAGCGACGCCAAUAAGAGGGCCGAGUUGAUGGCCAAGGAGUGGAAGAAGUCCCGCAGCACCGCCAAGUCUCUUGGCGACCUCGUCGAUAUGGGGCUUCUGCACGGCCCAGAGCUCGGCGGCUGGAGAGCGCCGGAACGAGAGAGCUUCCCCGACCCCCGUGCCGGUGAGAUCGUGGUGUUCGAAGACUUCGUUAAGAGGGGUUUUGGGAUUCCUGUUCAUCCUUUUCUUCAGGGUCUACUUCUUUAUUAUGAGAUUGGGAUUUGCAAUCUGCACCCGAACUCAAUCCUUCUUAUUUCUACUUUUAUCCAUUUGUGCGAAGCCUAUGUUGGCAUAGAGCCGCACUUCGACCUUUUCCGCUAUCUUUUUUGUUUAAUAAAGAAGGGAGCAGUUGGAGGCUCCAAGGUUGCUGGUGGAGUAUACCUCAACCUUCGCGAUGGAAUGAAAAACCGCUACCUGCACUGUCCAUGGAACACUUCCCUGACCGAAUGGUACAGGAAGUGGUUCUACCUCAGGGAGGAACCGGGCAGCUCCACGUUCUGCGACGUGGGAUAUAUCCCUGAGAAGAGGGUGAGCUGGACCGACCGCCCAGAGUUCGACGGUCAAGUGGCGGACCUCAUGAAGCUGAUCGACUAGUCGCGCCUGGACGGGCUUGGCGUGGUCGGCAACUUCAUUUGUCGUCGGGUGAUGCCCUGCUAGAAGAGGGUGCACUCGGCGUACGAGUACGCCGGAAGCCUAGACCCGACCAGGAUGCGACCUGAAGUCUUGGAGAAGGCGGAGGUGCAGCAGCUGUUGAACGAGCUGUUCAACUUCGCGGAUGGGGGCUUCGUCCGUGGCAGUGAUCGGGUGCAAGCCUUCAAGUUGGGGCGACCAGCACCUAAGGUAUCUUACUGAUUAUUUUUCCUUAGCAUUCGUUAUUGUCUACUGCUGACUUAUUUUUGCUACUCCUUGCAGAUCGGAGAUGUGGAUCGGUGCGCGGUGUAUGUGUCACUUGCACCCGGGAUGGAAAAUCCUGCGGGGGAGGAGCCGCCAGAGGAGGACGCUCGGUGUACUCAGUACACCAGCAGCGAGGAGGACCAGGCCCAUCCCAUCUCGACCACCAAGGAGAGAGUGGCGGGGAAAAGGCCAAUGGCGGUGGAUCCUUCGCCUGCGGCGACGCUGCCAGCGGAGAGCAGCCAAGCACCGAAGCGCCGUCGGCUCGUCCGGAUUACCGACGACGAUGACGAGGAGGAGGAAGCCGCACCGUCGCUAGUCCGACGGCCUCGUAGCCGUCUGGACAGUGCGCCGGCCACCACUGGUCGGGUGGCUAGCGAUCCUCCUUCGCCGCGCGUUACAGAGACGGGAGCCCAAGCGCCAACCGGUCGGGCUCGGAGGAGGUUCACCGCGACCCACCGUCGAUCGGAUCUGUAAGUGUUCGACUUACGUAUUUUGGCGUUUUUUUUUGCUGAAAAUGCUGCUUUGAUUUUUAGCGCGGCGUCGGAUGUCAACCCCGACCACGCCGCCGGACAAAGGGUGGCCGAGCCUGCUUGCGCUGCUGAAGACGCGGCGCCGCAGACCACAGAUCAGCCUGCGGCGGCAGCUGCUGCUACAGGCAUCGAGGGAGAGUCUGCCCCGGCGAGUGCCGCGGCGAGCACUCCGCCGAGGGAUGGGGAGGCAGGAAGGACCGCUCCCCCGAGUAGCGUCGCGGAAGGGGAAGAUAGAGCACCAACCCCUCCCCCUGCCGAAGAGAGGAGGGUCCCAACGCCACCCCGGGCAGGGGCCUCUUCGUCCGCAGGCGCCCCGGGCCUGGCCCAGGGGCCGGUGAUGCCUUCGACCACGACUGGUGGCGGUGCAGCGAACGAGGAAGCCCGGGCAUCCUCCGACGACGAGGUGGAGGAAAUUGAAGGUCGCCCCCGUGAUGGCCGCCAGCACGUGUAUGUGUGGCGCCAACGCGGGGACCACUUCAUCGGGCAUGAAGAGCUCGCGGAGACGGAGGAGGCCGACAGAGUGGAGCGCGCGGCCAAGCGACUCGUGGAUGAAGUCAAUGUAAGUGAUCCUUAGCGCUGUUCGACACUUGUUAUGUUGUAUUGUUGGGUCGACACAUGUUUUUCAUGUAGGGCGCAAUGAAAACGGCGAAGUACCGAAAGAGGUGCUUCGACCAAAUAGAAGGUAUUGUGGCCGAGAAUAAGGCCCUGUCCGCAGAGGUGGACCGUCUGCGGUCGGAGAUUGGGGAGAAAGUAGCCGAGAAGAGCGCUCAGGAAGAGCACUGUCUCGAGCUUACCCGACGCUUAGCCGACCAGUAUCGGCUGCGAGAAAGUUAGUCUCGUACUUUUAGGCGGCUGUAUGUGACCGCGUUAUUUGAAUUUGCUGAUCUGGGAAUUAUUCGUGCAGACAUGGAGGAGGAGGUCGCGCGCCUUCGGUAGGAGAAAGAGCAGCUCAGCCAAGAGCUUGCCGGGGCACUGGAGGACGGACGCCGAGCAGAGGAGGAGCUGAGCCGGAAGGACCGGGAGUUGUCUGGUAAUACGCACCGCCUCCGUUAUUCGUCGUUUAUCGCUCUUUUAUUUUUGAUACACUGAAUCUAACAUCUUGCUUGACUUGCAGUGCUCAAGGUGAACGCCAAGAAGCACCUGGACGAGCUGGUCAGGGACCGGGACUCCUGGAAGGUCAAUUGUUGUAAGAUCUGGAAAGGAGUGUCCCCGGUCCUAGACUUGAUCAGCCCCGAGCUCCCGGAGAGCCAUCCCCGCGCACCGAAAUUGACGCCAGUUGAAAAGGCGCAACGGGCGUGGGACUGGCUUCAGCAGUUCGUGAAGGACGCUGGGGAGUUUGCUGGUGCGCACAUCCUUAGCAUGGUGCACGCCCACUACCCCCUGGUCGAUUUGACCAGGCUGGAGAAGGGGUACCCCAAGGAGGUCGGCCCGCAGGAGGCGGACGAGCUUCGGGGUGGUCUGCUGGACUUGUCGUCGACGGUGAUCGGCGACAUCAACUUAUGCGGAACGGCCACUCCCCCCGACCAGCCAGGUUCAGACAGGUCGGCCAGGGAGCUGUCGGGCGCGUCUAUUGUGGGAGAUGGGCGGUCGACGCCUGCAGUCUCGACCAGCCAGGCGCCGGUGGAACCGACCCCUUCGUCCGGGUAGCAAGGCCAGGCGGGUGAUCAGCCCGAGUAGUAGGCCAGUAGGAUAGCCUGUAGGAGUAGACUAGUGUCCGCCCGUCAGGGUGUUUAUUGUAAACUUUGUAUGUAAAGUUUGUAAUAAAGUUUUGAAUUCGUCAUGACUACUAUUUUGAGCGUUGUGAAGUUGUCGGAGUGACGUGUCACUGUGUUUGAUUCAUGGUCGUUAAGAUUUUCCUUCGCAGAUGAUAUUGUUGUUCUUCACCGAAAACUCUGCGUGUAAACAAAGUAUAGCCAAAAAAAAGAAAAACUUUUAUUACUGCCAACUAUAAGAGACUUACAAGCAAAAGUUACUGGAACUUAUGGAUAAAAUCGGCGCAGUUUGUCUAUGUGCCAAGAGUUAGGCACGCGUGUUCCGUCUGGAUACGCCAAUCUGUAGGAUGUAGGUCGUGUGACUUCGGCGACCACAAAAGGUCCCUCCCAAGGAGUGGAUAGCUUGUGCAUUCCUUCCUGGCUUGUUUUCCACCUGAGUACCAGAUCGCCGACCACGAAAGAACGGUCCUUUAUGUUCCUGUUAUGGUACCGCCGGACUGCCGCAAGAUACUUUGCUGUUCGGAGACAAGAAUUCAGAUGCUUUUCCUCCAUGCAGUUGAUUUUGAGUUCUCUGGCAUUGUCGGUGGUUGACUGGUCGAAAUUUUCAAUCCUAGGAGAACUAAAGGUUAUGUCAGAUGGUAGGACUGCCUCGGCGCCGUAGACCAUGAAGUAGGGUGACACUCCCGUGUUCCGACUAGUCUGGGUUCGGAGGCCCCAGACCACAGCUGGUAACUCUUUCAUCCAUCGACCAGGUGCUUUGUCAUUCUCGGUGUACAGCCUUUUCUUGAGGGCGUCAAUGAUCAUUCCGUUCGCACGCUCGACCUGACCAUUUGCCCGUGGGUGUGCUACUGACACGUAUUUUAUGACUAUGCCCCUGUCAUCGCAGAAGUCCCAAAAUGCAGUGCCAGUAAACUGAGUACCCAGGUCGGUGAUUAUGCUGUUCGGGAUCCCGAAUCUGUGUAUGAUUUGACUGAGGAAUUCCACAGCCUUCUCAGAGGUCGCUUUUACCAGUGGCAUGUAUUCGAUCCAUUUUGAGAACUUGUCGAUUAAUACAAAGACGAACUUGAAGUUACCAGGGGCCGGUUUAAAUGGCCCGAUCAUGUCGAGUCCCCAGCAGGCAAAUGGCCAGGAUGACGGGAUAGUUUGAAUCUCGUGAGCAGGUACGUGGGUCCUUUUAGUGAAGAACUGGCACCCCUCACAGUGUCGGACCAGUUUUUCGGCGUCGUUGACCGCGGUUGGCCAAUAAAAUCCUGCUCGGAAAGCUUUACCGACCAGCGUUCUGGAUGCAGCGUGGUUGCCGCAGGAUCCGGCAUGUAUGUCUUCGAGGAGUUUGAUGCCAUCAUCUUGAGAUAUGCACUUGAGUAGUACCUCGGAGCUUGCAUUUUUUCGCAUGAGUUUGCCAUCCACCAGUAUGUAAUUCUUUGAUCGUCGAAUGAGGCGUUCAUUCUCUGUUUUGUCAUGAAAACCCGUACCAUCCGAUAUAUACUUGAUGAACGGGGCACGCCAGUCACGACCACUGGUUGUCGGAGUGGCAUCGUCUAUGAGCAUGGUUUCCGUGGGUUGCUUUUCGACCAGGCCAGAGCCCAGGCUUGGCUCAUGGAUGUCCUGGACGAAAACACCCCGCGGGAUCGGGGCCCGAGAUGACCCUAACUUCGACAACGCAUCAGCUGCCUGGUUCUUAUCCCGGACCACGUGGAUGUACUCUAUGCCGUAGAAGUUGGUUUCCCAUUUGCGAAUUUCUUUGCAGUAGAGAUCCAUCUUCUCGUGGGUCGCAUCCCACUCCUUGUUGAGCUGGUUGAUAACUAAAGCAGAGUCGCCAUAGACAUAGAGGCGUUUGACUCCCAGCUCAACGGCUAGCCUUAUGCCAUGCAGGCAUGCUUCGUAUUCGGCGACGUUGUUUGAUGCCGGGAAAAGGAUCCUAAGGACGUAACGCAGUUUGUCCUUGUUAGGUGAUACGAAGAGUAUCCCAGCGCCGGCGCCGUUGAUGUUCAAGGACCCGUCAAAAAACAUUGACCAGUGGUCGGAGACGUCGGGAACGGGAGGCUCGUUGAGAUCCGUCCAUUCAGCAAUGAAAUCGACCAGGGCCUGAGACUUGACUGUGGUGCGGCUCUGGAAUUCUAGGGAAAAUGGGCAUAACUCCAUCACCCAUUUUACAAUUCUGCCGUUGGCAUCUUUAUUGCGCAGAAUGUCCCCAAGAGGAAAACUGGUGGUUACCAAGACUCGAUGGCCGUCAAAGUAGUGCUUCAGCUUCCUUGAUGUUAUCAGAAUAGCGUACAUGAGCUUCUGUAUUUGUGGAUACCUGGCCUUGGAUUCGUUUAGGACUUCGCUUAUGAAGUAAACGGGUCUCUGGACCUUGUAGACGUGACCUAGCUCAUCUCGCUCGACCACUAUUGCCAUGGAGACAACCCUGUCGGUUGCUACAAUGUAAAGGAGUAGGUCUUCAUUGGGCUGAGGUGCUGUAAGAACAGGCGGGGAAGUGAGGAAAGCCUUAAGCUGGGUGAACGCAGCGUCGGCUUCCUCUGUCCAGGAGAACUUUUCCGACGCCUUCAAGAGUUUGAAGAAAUGGAGGCCUUUUUCUCCUAGUCUUGAGAUGAAACGGCUGAGCGCGGCCAUACACCCGGUGAGCUUUUGAAUGUCUUUGACAUUUUUAGGUGGUCGCAUGUCAAGUACUGCUUUUACUUUUGAGGGAUUCGGCCAUAUGCCGUCGCGACUGACAACGUUGCCGAGCAGUAGACCAGAAGGAACGCCGAAGAUGCACUUCUUGGGGUUAAGCUUCCACUUGUAUCUAUUAAGCGCCUUAAAGGUUCGGUCUAGGUUGUCGAUUAGGGUGCUUGCAUCUCUUGUUUUGACGACCACGUCAUCGACAUAGGCCUCGAAGAGGUCAUCACAAAUCUCGUCGUGGAGGCAUUGCUGGAUGGCCCGUUGAUAGGUGGCUCCGGCGUUUUUGAGUCCGAAUGACAUGGUCGUGUAGCAAUAUGCGCCGAAAGGAGUAAUGAAAGAUGUUUUUAUCUGAUCGUCCUCCUUUAGCGAGAUCUGGUGAUAGCCAGAGUAGCAGUUUAGAAAAGAGAGGAGUUCGCAUCUGGCCGUUGAGUCGACCACCUCGUCGAUGCGAGGGAGACCAAAAGGAUCUUUAGGACAAUGUUUAUUGAGAUCAGUGUAAUCAACACACAUUCUCCAUUCAUUAUUCUUUUUGCGUACAAGAACCGGAUUGGCGAGCCAAUCGGGGUGAUACACUUCUUUUAUGAAUCCGGCUGCUAGAAGCCGCGUUAUUUCUGUCCUAACAGCCUCCUUUUUGUCACGAGCGAACCGUCGCAGCUUUUGCUUGAUUGGUCUUGCGGUCUUCAAGACAUUUAAGGAGUGCUCGAUCAGGUUUCGUGGGACGCCAGGCAUGUCUGCGGGUUUCCAUGCGAAAACGCUCACGUUGUCCUUUAGAAACCUGACGAGCGCGUCUUCCUAUUUUGGAUCCAGAUUGGCCCCGAUGAGGGCCGUCUUCUCGGGGCUGCCGUCGACCAGCUGCACUUCUUUGUAUUCCUUGGAUUUUGAGUUCUUUCUGGCAGUCUCCUGCUCGGGUAAUGGGAGCUGGUCGGGAGGCAGCUGCGUGGCUUGGGUUGCUGUUUCUGCCAUGCGGAUUGAGAGGUCGAUUGCCUCGGUAAUCUUGAAGCUUUCCUCUUCGCAGGUAUACGCGGUGUAGACGUUGCCUUUGACGGUUAGGACACCCUUCGCCAUAGGCAUUUUAAGGACCAGGUAUGAGUAGUGCGGGACUGCCAUGAACUUUGUCAACGAUGGUCGGCCCAGUAUGGCGUGGUAGGUCCCGUCGAAGUCCGCGACCACAAAGUUGAUGAACUCUGUGCGAAAGUGGUCGGGUGUGCCGAAUUGGACAGGCAAUGUUAUCUGUCCGAGGGGCACUGAACUCUGACCUGGCAAAACCCCCCAGAAUUGAGCAUCGUAGGGUUUUAGUUGUGCAGGAGAUAUUUUGAGGGCGGGCAGACUGUUGCGGAAGAGGAUGUCGAUGGAGCUUCCCCCGUCCACGAGCACGCGCUCGAAUCUGAUGCUGUUGAUGCAAGGGUCCAGGAUCAGAGGGAAACGACCUGGCUCUGGGAUAGCGGCCCACUGAUCCUUCCUGCCGAAUGAGAUCUCCCUGUGUGACCAUGGGGGAAAUUUUGGGUCUGUGAUCAGCCCGUCCGUGCUGUCUAUGUUGAGGCAGGCUCUCUUUAAUAGCUUUCUCUCUCGCUUAGAUUCGAUGGAGACCUUUCCCCCGAAGAUGGAGUGGACCACGUCAGUGGGGCUGACGUAUUGGUGUCAGGGGUCCCUAUCUUGGUCCUCGUCCUCGUCUUCAUGGUCGUGCCCGUCUCGCUUGCCAGUUUUCUUGGUGGAGUCGUCUUGGGCGGCCCACAGUGUGUAGAUGCUUUUGAGGACGCGACACUCCUCCAUGGUAUGGUUAGACUUUGGAUGCAGUUGGCACGGUCCCUUCAACGUUUUGUUGUAGUCUUCUUGGUAGUCCCGCCGCCCGUUGGGACGUUUGACCGUAUUCACUUCAUGGUCGUAGUCGCGGGGGCGUUUUCCUCGGAAAUCGUCGCGAUUGUCGCGGCGCUGAUCCCAACCUUCUCUGUGAUCGCGGUUGUUGGGGCGGCGGUGGUUGCUGUUGUCAUAGUGACCGCGACCGUCAUCUCGCCGGGAAGGCUGGUCGGGACCUCUCGCAUCGUCUCGGAUUAGUUUCUCUACGUCGUCGGCAUCGGCGUAAUUUUUAGCCGUGGCGAGGAGCUCCGCCACCGUUGUUGGCCGUUUGCGCAACAGCUUGUUCCCCAGCGCUUCAUGGAAACGCAAGCCCUUGAUGAAGGUAGAGAUGGCCUCGUCGUGGGAAAUCUUUGGGAUCUUAAGGCGCAUAUCCGAGAAUCGUCGGAUGUAAUCGCGCAGAGGUUCAUUCUUCCUAUCCCUUAUCCUUUCGAGGUCAUACUUGUUUCCAGGCUGCUCGCAUGUGGCGAUGAAGUUGUCGAUGAAAGCCUGGCGUAGCUCUUCCCAAGAGUCGAAGGAGUCCUCGGGCAAGCCAAGGAGCCACUGAUGACCAGCCUGGUCGAGGACUACAGGGAAGUAGUUGGCCAUGACGUGCUCAUCUCCCGCUGCUGAUCGGACGGCAAUUUCAUAGAGAGUGAUCCAGUUCUCUGGAUUUUCCUUGCCGUCGUAUUUUUUAAGUUUUUUGAGCUUGAAAUUGCGGGGCCACACGACCUGGCGGAGGUGUGAGGAGAACUGUCUUAGGCCCGGGGGGCCGUGCGUUGCAUCGUACUCGAUACGGCGCAGGUUUUCGUGGACUGCUCUCUCUGUGGCGCGCCUGUUGAUGCGGUCCCGGGCAUCUUUGGGAGGGAUGUUGUAUCGGAGAUCCCUGUGCUGGUUUACUUCUUGACCGCACCUGCGGUUCUGCUCGCGGUGACCGUUGUUGGCACUUCUUAACGCAACCACCAGAUAUCGGUGAUGGCGCCAGAAAUGCCUGGUGUGGUAACUCUAUUAACUAUUGGAUAAUUCCGCAAGCGCACAGAAGGUACCGCUGUAGCACUUCACCCGGGAGUAUUCCAAGGUAUCGUAAUGUAUAUUUUCCCAAGGGAAAGCAAUAGCUAGAAAUGCUUGUAAGAAAAGAGAUCCUAUCUCAACUUAGUUACAACUAGUGCAGAGAGGUGGUAACGAAAGGUGAAGGAAGGGAUGAUGAUGAUCCAGAGAUAAUCGAAAAGGAUAACUACAAGAUAACUAGAGUAGAGUAGCUAGGUGGGAGGACAACGAGUGAGUACAGGUUCCUAGGAUAUCUAAUUCUACUCUCGUGAACUAAUCUUAAUCAAAUAGCAGAGACACACUAGAUUGAUACCUUACUAAUGGCUGCCAGGGAUAGCCGAGCUGGUAAGACGCUUAAAAGGUUUUUUCACCUAACCCCUUACCGAAAGCGACUAUUGGGCUUAUGGACGCCUUAUCUUUUAAGAACUAGCUCGUACGUGAGGAGAACCUAAUGCCGCCCACGAUCUGUCACCUACUAGGGAGUGCGCCCCUACUUUCCGUCCGAGCCAGCGACACCCAAAGGCAAGACCUAGCCUAAGCACCACGCUUACGCUAACUCUCACUACUCUAGCUACGAUCAAACAACUAUAGCACCUUGCUAAAGGCGAUGGGAAACAGCCACGAGCUUGUUACAGGAUCACAAUCUAAUAUGUAACUACUAAAGGACAAGAUAGAACACUACAAUACUAUUGCAAGAAUAAUAUUGCACAAAGUAAUACUUAGAAAAGUAGAAAGAGAAUAUAUUAAGAAAACAAGUCUUACAGGAGAAAAGAUACAAGAGCUAUACCAGACUCUCCAGAAGACGACUCCGGAGACCCCGAGCUUCGCUUGACUCAACUCUAACUCCCACACUAGACUACUACUACUACUACUCACUUGUAUCUAGCUUGGAUACUUGAACCUUGAAUUCAUCAUGCCCUGGAAGGGUGAAAUCAGCCUCUAUUUAUAGGGAGAGGUGGAGUAGGGGCUACUCCACCGCCACGUCAUCGAUCCGUGUGAUCAUGCCUCUCCACCCUUGGAUCAAACCGACUUCACAACCGCCAUUUGAUCAACGGCCGGGGCAAACCAACACGUGAGACAUGUGGGGAAGGUCGGUGGGAGGCCACCGACCCUGAAACCGCCUUACAUGUGGGGUCAGGCGACCUCACUCCUGACCACCUGGGCCCACCAGCAGUGUCCACAAUGGUCCCUUAUGUCGGUGGAGUAGGUGGCACACCUGGGUCCCACCAAAGAGGGGUCGGGCGACCCCCUCCCUGUGGGCCCAGGGUGUCACCUGUUGUCCCCUCGAUCUCCUCUUGAUGAUUCUGAUGUUGGCUUUGUCAAAUAAUGUCUUGAAUUUGUUGUUCCUGCAUAAACAAGCUAAGAGUACAAGUGGAACUAGUUAUGGAUAAAAUAUGUUCAUGUCAUGUCAUUUCCCUUUGCAACUGAGGCAUGUUGACGGUGUUUUGUAUGUGGAUUUCUAUGGUAUAUCCACCGUCAACAAGAUCCCCCAAGCUUAACCUUUGCUCGUCCCGAGCAAACAAUCAAACUUAGCCUCGGUGGAUCAGGUAUUGUUACUAUGUUCACAUUUCAAGAGUACCAUGUGUACAACAAAGUUCUUCUCUUUGCAUGAAAAAUUUAGCUAUGUAAACUUACCCAUAUUACCUUAGUCCCUUAUGGGGCUUAUGGCUUUUCCUUUGUCUUAGGUGGUUGAAAGACAGAACAGUUUGACUUGAGCACUAACUUUCUCAUUCUUAGCAAGUUUCAUAUCAGAGGUUUUGUGAUAUUUUCAAAAGAAAACUUAAAUGUUCCUCAUAUGGUUCUCUCAUGUCACUCAAAUGGUGUAUAAUUCCUCACCAAGGCAUAUGAUAGAGUUGCCUUCUCUAUUUCAUCCUAUUUCUAAAAGGCUUAUGUGGAGCUUAAGGUAGGGAUGAAAGGAGAUAGCAUACUUACUUUGCAUGUGUUGCGAAGUCAAAGCUCGGAUCCUUGAAGAGAAGUGUCAUACUCCCAGAUCAAGAUGUGCAAGUGUGAUAUAUGGUGGACUAGGUUGCUCCUUUAUUUGCUACACUCUCUCUACCUGUAUAUUGAGACAUGGCUAGCAUUUUCUUUUUCUUCGAGCUUUAUGUGCUCAAUAUUUUUUUUUUGUGGACUUGCACAUGUCCAUCUUUUUAUUUCAUUUUGCCUAGGCUUUUGAUGUCUCAUUUACCAAAUAAUGCUUAGAGAGAGAUAUUCUAACAUUUAGAGUAUGGAGCAACCUAUUUAGUGGAUGCGAAAUACAUGUGGUUGCGUACUUCCAGUGUAGAAGCAGCAUAUAUAUAUGUGGUGUGUACGUGAUCUUGAUCUUAGGAGCAUGAAAAGUCUCUUAACAGGGGUCAACAAGACUUGGCGACACUCAACACAAAGCAAAUAGCUUAUGUGGAAAGGUUGCAAUCAUGUAAAGUAGAUAUAGCUGUGGUAGGAAUUCAUCACCAUUGAGGAACAAUUAAGGUUUUGAUCAUUUUAAGAAUAAAUCUCUGAUAAUCAUGCAUGCUUAGAAUAAUAUUAUAGCAGCUCUUGUCUCACUAUCUCAUGUCCCACAACAACUUAGACUUAGUUCUAGCACUUGCAACCCACAAAGUUUUCAGGUUCAUGGCAGUUUAAGUGAGCUAAGUGAUCCAUACUUGGAGAAAUACUAAGUUGUAUACUAGGUACUAGAGAAACAUUAACAAGCAACUAGUCAUCAUUUCCAUGAGGGAUAUAGACAUACAUGAAGCAUAUAUGCUAAAGGGAAAUGCUAAUUUUUUUUUUAGAGCAAGAAUGAUAAAAUGCAUGGAAAUAAAUAGGAUAGAAUACUUACCUUGGUGGGGGAGAGGAUCUCCCCCAAGCUUGUCCUUCCUCACUGGGGUGGAUACGAUGGAUAUGGUGGAUAUGGUGGAGGAUAUUGCUGUGGAGGAUAUUGUGCAGGAGGAGGUGGAUAUGCAUGUGGUGGUUGAGGAAUGUAUGGUGGUACGGGCAGGUGAUAUGAUGUGUAGGCUUGGCACCAGUUUCUACUGCUGCUCUCCUCAAAAUUUUGGAUUUGCUGUUGGGUUUCCACAGUGGCAGUGUGAAUGGCUUCAUGGUUAGUACGCAAUGUAGCCAUACCUGAUCUGAGUAGCUCCAUGUCAUGACGGUGACUGCGGUUUCCAAUCUCCUGCGAAGAAGAAAGAGACAACCGGGCACUACGUCUCCUCCCCGUCCCGGAGGUGUGCAUGUUAUUGGAAGUGCCCUCAUUAUCUGAAUCAUCUUGCUGUUCAGCUCGUGACUGUCCACGUGUGAAUGGCCCUGCAAAACUUCUACGUCCUCCAACUCCAGGAACAUUAGGCAUUAACGGGUGGCCCCCGUAUAAUUUUAACUCUGGUUGUGGCAAAAUGAGUCUUGCAUUUGAUUUACGCAAUAUAAAUUCAAUUGUGUCAUUGGGGCCACGCGUAAUUACUUUUGCUUGAAUGAAAUGAUAUUUUCCUAACACAGUUCUAGGAGUGGGUAUGUACUGGAUGGUGUCAUCAAGGAUCAAAAUGUAAUCACACAAUUUUGUAAUUAUAGAGGUGAACUCAAUUGGGUCAUUCUUCCGUGCUAUAGUGAUCCAAUGAUGUACCAUGGCUUUUACCGGUGCAAUACGAAUUCUAUUCACCAUGGCAUAUAGAAUUCUAUUAUCAAUUUCCCGCACAAUCCGAAUGUCAUCUCUAGGGAAUAGAGUGAUGCCUAUCCAUUUGUGCAUGAACCGUAGUGUGGGAUGGCAAAUAUGGCUAGUAUGUGGGUAAGUCUUUCCAAUUAGAUUCUCCCCAGUUAUUUCAUGCCAAAAUUCUUGUCUAUUAAAACCCCUUGUGGCAACUUCUACGUUGGUUUUAAAAUUCAUAAAGCCUAAACAUGCAGCUAGAUGGUCCCAUGUGAAAUCAUAAUCUUGGUUUCUUAGGCGAAAGUAAAUGGUUGUUUCGGUUACCCUUACGGUGCUCAAAAAUUCUAGAGUGAGAAUCUUGCUACCUAGGUGUUCCGAAAAGUCCCAAAAUUCACCCCAUCCUAUUGCAGCAAAGACAUCAAAGAAUUCCUCAUACAUACCUGUGUCUUUGAGGAAUUUAGGGUCAAUUACCUUGGUAUGCUUGAAUUCACGGUGGCGUAGAUGGUUAAGCUUCUCCAUUUCUUCUACGGUGAGCAAAAGUCCGGUCUCUAUAUCUUGCAUCCGUAGAGGUGCUGCUUCUUCAUUAAGUGGUGUUUGCUGUGGCAUGGCCUCAUGCUCUUGCUCCUCAUGAGUCUCAGAGGGAAGUCCCUGAUGAGAGGAGUACUCUUCUACCGAACUCAUGGUGCCAUGGGAGUGCCUUGAUGAGCUUCCGCUAAACGCUCCACGCACUUUCUUCCCUAUGUUCUUGAGUGGAUUCUUCAUGCUAGAUCAAGAAAAUAACGAACACCACUUCCACCAGAGAGGUUAGUUUAGAUUUUAACUCUUCUUACCGGCUGAUUACCUCUCUUGAUUUCUCGACGGGUGAACACUUGAGCAAUAGGGAAAGUGAAAGGAAGAGUGUUGAUGAUUUUCUUGAGUUGCUAGUAGAGGAAAAUGGUUGUGAAUGAGUGAGUGGAUGGAAGAGAGGACAAGUGCAGAGGGCACUUUGUCAGGGUCGGCCGACCCCUCUUUUUCCACGAAACCACAAAUGGCCAACACCUUGUGUCAAGGAAAGAUGGAUGGGAAAGAAAGAAAUAAGGAAUGCUGCAGGGAGGGGGUCGGGCGACCCCAUCACCACCUCCUCUUUGCGCUAGCUGUUCACCAGAUUGAUGAUGAAUGUGUGCCAUGGCUGGUUCCCCAUCUCCACUCACUCUCUCCUUUCUUUUGGAUGUUUUCUCAAAGAAUCUCUUCUUGGAAUGUGGUGAAAGAGAAAGGAGGGAACAAGACAAGACUAGAUGGGUGGAUGUUUGCUCAUGAGAUGCUUCACGGGAUGAGCUUCUCAAAAUGUUGAUUUACUUAAGGCUUUAAGCAAGUAUCUUUCCCAUACUUAGCAAGAGUGAUUUGUCUAGGGGUUGCUUAAGUGACUUUAGAAAGAAGAAGAUGGUUUUUGUUAAGUUAGCAGUGUCUCCUAAUUUCACUUACGUUUUAGUGGAAGCAGGGGAUGAAAACUAGAAACUCUAGCUCCUAGGGUGAGUGUCGAUGUUUAUGAGUCUUUAUUUCUAUACUCACUCUCCCUACAUUACUUGUGCUGCCAUACACCAGAGGAGGGGAGGAAGUGGGGCCAACCAUGGGGUCGGCCGACCCCUCCUCUCACUCUUGAGUAAUGCUGGGCACACUACACGAGUAACAGAACAAGCACAUGCAAGAAAAAUAGAUGAAAGAGUUAGAGAAUUCUCAUGCACGGUUCAAUUCGUUGAUCAAGUGGGAUUACAUGAGUUGACAUGGUAAUGUUUUGGUGUUUUCUUGAAUGGAGCAUAGCAUGUCAUGAUAGGAAGUGGCAAAGGACACGAGAUGAUAGGUGGGGGCCACCAAAGUGGGGUCGGGCGACCCCCCUUUGGGCCCCACCUGGUGUCCACCUUGCUCAGUGAGUUUUUAUUUUUACUUUACUUGUCUUAACUCAAGUUGAUAGAAGGGUUGGAAAAGAUGAAGGAAGUUUAAUAAGUAACUUAAAGUUAAAGGUCAGUGGGCUUACCUUGAUGGAAGAGCUGUUACCUCAGGUCCUUAGAACAGGACCUCCUCCUUGAGUUGAUACAGAAAUUUUCUUCGGAGGUGUCAUCGGUUGUAUUACCUUCUUCUUCCAUAUUUUCUUGCUCUUUGCUCUUGGCGUUGGAUUGGUCUUUUUCUUUGGCCUAGUUAUGAAUGUGACGGUUGCCACAUCCACUGCCAAGAUUAGUGAGCAUUGCACUACCUUUGGUUUGAAGUUGAACUUCUCCUGGGCCCCAUUGAUUGUAAAUUGAAUUUCUCCGGCUCCAACGUCAAUAUGUGCAUUAGCAGUGCUGAGAAAUGGUCUUCCCAGGAUAAGUGGAGUCUUUUCAUCCACCUCCAUGUCGAGUACCACGAAAUCCACAGGGACCAGGAACUCGCGUAUCUUUACGGGGAUAUUCUCAGCUACCCCCGCAGGAUGGCGAAUUGACUGAUCCGCUAACUGCAAAUGUAUUGAUGUAGGGGACAAAACAGCAUGGGUUAGUUUAUCAAAUAUUACCUUUGGCAUGACACUGACACUUGCUCCCAAGUCGCACAGUGCAUGCUCGAAGUGAUGUGUCCCAAUGGAGCAGUCGAUGGUAGGACAUCCAGGGUCCUUCUUCUUUUCUGGUAGUUGGUUUAGUAUCGCCGCGCUGCAUUCUUCUGUUAGCUUAAUCACCUCAGUUGUAGGCAGCGGGCGUUUGUUGUUGAGGAUGUCUCUCAAAUACUUGGCAUAGGUUGGAACCUGCAUUGCAUCAAGUAGUGGAAUAUUGACAUAUAAUUGCCGAAUUACCUCAACAAACUUCCCGAAUUGUUCAUCGGUGGUUGGCUUCCUUGUUCUUGGAAAUGGCAGCAGAAUGUUGGUGUCGUAGAACUCGUGCGGAGCUGUCUUUCCAUAGAACUUGGUGUUUUCCUGCUUAGAUGGUGCUUCUUCCUUGUCUUCCUCAACUUCCUUAUCUUUUCUUGCAGUCUUUUUUGUCAUGUCAGGAUAUGGUGGAUCACGAGUGGUCUUACCCCCUCUCGUGGUCACAUUAAAGAUAUUGCAAGAAUUUACAGAAGAAGGAACAGUAGCAGCAAUUUGUGCUAUUUGAGACUCUAAAAUUUUAUUAAAGUUUAAUUGGUCCUUAACAGAAGAAACAAGGGAAUCCAUUUUAGCAGUUAAUGAUUCAAGAGUCUUGUCAUUAGCUAACAAUCUUUUGUUCAUGCUUUCAUUGAUUUUAGCUUGCUUAAUGACAAGUUCUUUAAGUGAAAGCCAGUUAGAGUUACUAGAGUUACCUUGGCCCUGGAAGCGCGAAGUUGGUCGUCCAUUGUUGAAGGAUUGCACAGCUUCAUGGCUUGCAUUUUGCACCCUGCUCCGUUGGUUCGCACGUGCAGUGGCGUAUUGUUGGAUGGCCUCUCGAUAUUUCUUUACCUUGGCUCGUUCAUCCAACUUCUUCAACAAGAACUCCAUCUUGUGAGAUAUUUCAUUUACCUCUUCAAUGGUUUUCGUGCUUCUCUUCUUGAGUUGAGGGCGUUCUUCUCUCCAUGUUUGAUUUGUCACUAUGUUCUCAAUGAGAGUUUUAGCUUGAGUGACAUUGAGGGAGGUAAACGCUCCUCUUGCGGCGGCAUCAAGGUGGCUACGAGCUACUGGAGUCAGCCCAUGGUAGAAACCUUGAAUCAGGAGCCACUCUUUAAUUCCAUGAUGUGGACACUCUUGAAUGUACUCCUGCAGACGUUCCCAUGCUUCGGGAAUAGUCUCGUCUGCCUUCUGUUGGAAGCUUGAAAUCUUUGCCCUCAGAGCAGAUGUCUUGCCCAUUGGGAAGAAUUUCUUGAGAAAUACAUUGGCACAUCUUCUCCAGGUGUUGACAUCAUCGGGUUGAGCGUAAAACCAUUGCUUUGCCUUCCCAAGCAAUGAGAAUGGGAAUAGGCGAAGGCGGAUGGCGUCGGCCGUUACCCCUCUGAUGGCAAUAGUGCUACACACUUCCAAAAAGUGUUGGAGAUGUGCAUUUGCAUCUUCAUGUGGCUUCCCACUAAAUGUACUUGCUUGCACCAUAGUGAUAAGUGAUGGCUUAAUCUCAAAGUCGACAUCUUCGACCUCCACCCUCGGUCCAAUGGUAACAUGGGCAACUGAUGGAGAUGAGAAGUCGGAGAUUGAUGAGGAAGCCAUUGACUGGUAGAGUGUCGGUGCUAAGCCUCCUUCCUUGAGUGAAUUCAAGUAUGAGCUGGAUCUCCGAUAAGUUACUAGACGGUGUCUAGGACUCUGUCGGGAUGUCUCAGGAUUUUCUAAUGUGGCCUUGAAUUGGAACUCACUCAUACAAUGCCCUGCUUCACAAUAUAGAGAAACAAAGGCAAGGGGUAAACCCCCCCCUACAACUAAUUGAUACUAAGUUGAUGAUAUUUUUUUUUCGGAUUCGUUCUUACUAAGAUUUCUAGGCUAUGCUUUCCCCGGCAACGGCGCCAGAAAUGCUUGUUGGCACUUCUUAACGCAACCACCGGAUAUCGGUGAUGGCGCCAGAAAUGCCUGGUGUGGUAACUCUAUUAACUAUUGGACAAUUCCGCAAGCGCACAGAAGGUACCGCUGUAGCACUUCACCCGGGAGUAUUCCAAGGUAUCGUAAUUUAUAUUUUCCCAAGGGAAAGCAAUAGCUAGAAAUGCUUGUAAGAAAAGAGAUCCUAUCUCAACUUAGUUACAACUAGUGCAGAGAGGUGGCAACGAAAGGUGAAGGAAGGGAUGAUGAUGAUCCAGAGAUAAUCGAAAAGGAUAACUACAAGAUAACUAGAGUAGAGUAGCUAGGUGGGAGGACAACGAGUGAGUACAGGUUCCUAGGAUAUCUAAUUCUACUCUCGUGAACUAAUCUUAAUCAAAUAGCAGAGACACACUAGAUUGAUACCUUACUAAUGGCUGCCAGGGAUAGCCGAGCUGGUAAGACGCUUAAAAGGUUUUUUCACCUAACCCCUUACCGAAAGCGACUAUUGGGCUUAUGGACGCCUUAUCUUUUAAGAACUAGCUCGUACGUGAGGAGAACCUAAUGCCGCCCACGAUCUGUCACCUACUAGGGAGUGCGCCCCUACUUUCCGUCCGAGCCAGCGACACCCAAAGGCAAGACCUAGCCUAAGCACCGCGCUUACGCUAACUCUCACUACUCUAGCUGCGAUCAAACAACUAUAGCACCUUGCUAAAGGCGAUGGGAAACAGCCACGAGCUUGUUACAGGAUCACAAUCUAAUAUGUAACUACUAAAGGACAAGAUAGAACACUACAAUACUAUUGCAAGAAUAAUAUUGCACAAAGUAAUACUUAGAAAAGUAGAAAGAGAAUAUAUUAAGAAAACAAGUCUUACAGGAGAAAAGAUACAAGAGCUAUACCAGACUCUCCAGAAGACGACUCCGGAGACCCCGAGCUUCGCUCGACUCAACUCUAACUCCCACACUAGACUACUACUACUACUACUCACUUGUAUCUAGCUUGGAUACUUGAACCUUGAAUUCAUCAUGCCCUGGAAGGGUGAAAUCAGCCUCUAUUUAUAGGGAGAGGUGGAGUAGGGGCUACUCCACCGCCACGUCAUCGAUCCGUGUGAUCAUGCCUCUCCACCCUUGGAUCAAACCGACUUCACAACCGCCAUUUGAUCAACGGCAGGGGCAAACCAACACGUGAGACAUGUGGGGAAGGUCGGUGGGAGGCCACCGACCCUGAAACCGCCUUACAUGUGGGGUCGGGCGACCCCACUCCUGACCACCUGGGCCCACCAGCAGUGUCCACAAUGGUCCCUUAUGUCGGUGGAGUAGGUGGCACACCUGGGUCCAACCAAAGAGGGGUCGGGCGACCCCCUCCCUGUGGGCCCAGGGUGUCACCUGUUGUCCCCUCGAUCUCCUCUUGAUGAUUCUGAUGUUGGCUUUGUCAAAUAAUGUCUUGAAUUUGUUGUUCCUACAUAAACAAGCUAAGAGUACAAGUGGAACUAGUUAUGGAUAAAAUAUGUUCAUGUCAUGUCAUUUCCCUUUGCAACCGAGGCAUGUUGACGGUGUUUUGUAUGUGGAUUUCUAUGGUAUAUCCACCGUCAACAACCGUCAGUGUCCCAACCACCAUCGUUACGCCGUGAGUCUUUUCGAUGGUUGUCGGGAGAGCGGCUGCGGUUAUGCCUGCUGGGAGGCGGUGAGGUCCGGCUACGAUUAGUCUGGUCGGAGGUGGCUUCCGUAUAAGACACGUCCUGGACUCUCUUGAGCAGAGUGGCUGUCUGUCCCAUUGUGGCAAUCAGGUGCGCUUGGACGCUGGUUCGGACACCCUGGCACUCAGGGGUAUCAGGGAGCCGAUCUAGAUUAGCCAUGGCGACAGCCACAUUUGCGCUUGACGUUUUGUAGACUGGCUGGUCCCCGACCAUGUCAAAAGCGUCGCUGAGGUUAUGCGGUGGAAUUUGUCGUUGCUCAUCUGCGCGUCGUCGGGCGCGAUCGGCGUUGCGCUGCUCGCGGAGCUGCCUCUGCUCGUCCAUUUCUCCAUCAACGACCGGCUCGUCGGCGCUGACGUUGAAAACAAUGUCCCCUCACCGGGGGGGAAAUACCGGGAAACGAGGGAAACCCGGAGGCUGUGAAGGCAAAUCCAGGUCGUAGUACUCGUCUUCGGAGUUUAUAACUUCGGUGGGGACGGAACCGGUGCUUGAGUUGGUGCUGGAAGCCUGACCGUCCCGUAGCUCUUGGAUCGUCACCAUGUUGACGUAGUGACGAGUAGGUCGAUCGUUCCUUUUCGGCGGCCAAUCUGCCUUGCUGAAAACGAAUUGGAUGUGCCGUGAGUAGAGAGAGGCUGAGUUGUUCAGGCCGCAAGGAUAAUCUUCCUCCUUGAGCUUGACGGUCCGUCCUGAGGGAGUUGAAGUUAUCGUCAGAGACAUUCCCAGCCGUUCGUGUGUAACGACACGAGUUGGCCGGUGGGAUUUGAAAAAAUCCGUUGAAGCGGCUUGAUCGGGCUGGCGCAGGAUUCCAUCUACUAGUUGAGAGGCUUCAAGUAGCUUGGAAUCAGCGCGAUCAAGCGCUUGAAGAAGGUCCGAGCAGUCGAUCUUAUUUCCCUUGUAGAGCGGGAACGGUGGUCGGGCGCUCGGUGCCACCAUCCGAGUGGUCGGAGGCGACGUGAUCUCAGAUUAGAUCUAGGUUUCUUUCGAAACCGUGGUCGUAAGGCCACCGCCGCGCGUCGUCCACGUGAUCUGGCCGACGGUGAACGUGAGGCCUCCGGGCACGGUCGCGGAAGCUGCGAUUGUGACCAUCUUGUUCGCCGGAGAAGUUGCACGCACACCCCCUACCUGGCGCGCCACUGUCGACGAAAGCUGGUCGGCAGUCUACCUUGGGGUAUACCCACGGUAGUAGUUUAUCGGUAGACGGUGCGCAAAGAACGAACUCGAUGGUGACGCAAGACACAGGUAAGCUUUUGAUCCAGGUUCGGCCGCCGAGUUGGCGUAAUACCUACGUCCUGCGUCUGGUUGCAUUGAUUUGUGUUGAGAGAAUAUGAUGUCCUAGGAGGGUCCCUUGCCUCUCCUUAUGUAGUCCGGAGGGCAGGGUUACAGAUCUGGAAACUAAUCCUAGUCGGUUACAAUUGCCAUAGAUAGUUCGAUAUCAAUUCCUAUUCUAACCGACUAGAAUCCUGCUUGAUCUCCACGUCUUGUGUCCUUACGCGAAACUCCAAGCUGUCAGAUCAAACCUUGAGCUUGUCUCGUAAUGGGCCAAGCCUCCUGGCCCAAGUCUAGCCGUAAGGGUAUAGGGGUCUAUACCCCCACAGCUCGCGAGCGGAGGGAGGAAGGAGAAGGGCGCGGGCAACAGGAUGGAGGGAAUGGCCUGGGAGCCCGAGCCGGCGUCCCGACUAGGGGGGGCUGGAGGCCGGCCGCGGCACGCUCCUCGCCGGCGUACAGCCGCCACGUGGCCGACGCUGGCUGGGACGAGGCGCGUCCGCGCGCGCGGGAGAGAGGGGGAGGGGGAAGCAGGCCGGGCCGCUCGCUGGGCCGAAAGGGAGGCGGUGUUGGCCCAGCAGCGCCUGCCCCUUUUCUAUUUUUUUUGAAUUUCUUUUCUCAAAUUCUUUUCUAAAUUCAUUUGGACUAAUUUAAAAUCAUUUUCACCUCUUGCCCCCAAAAGCAAAGUUGUUCCAAAACAAAAACCCUACAACUUUGUUUUAAUAAGCAAGACUAAAUUCCAAAUAGAAUUUGAAUUACAAAUUAAAACUAGUUCUAGGUUUCCAAAUAAAUUCAUUUUGGAGAUUUUUGUAUAAAUUCCAUUUCUCAAAUUCUAUAGCUCCAAAAAUUGCACAAAAAUAUUCUUAAUUCUUCUUACACAUAAAUCACCCUAGUUUGAAUAUUUCACAUUUUUAGAAGCAAGCAUCAUAUUUUUAUCAUAAUUAAAACACAUGAAAUAAAGCACAUAAAAUCAUGUUUUGAGAUGAAUGACAUGCUCAUGAUGCUAUGCUUGAUGAGAAUGCUUAUGCAUGUUAUGAUAGGGCUAAAUGCAUGCUUAACACCUAGGGUGUUACAGGGGUGGGCACCGUGGCCCAUCGGGCUCCAUGCGGCUGAGGAGGAGAAGAGGAGGAAGGAAGAGGAGGAGAGGAAGAAGAAGGAAGAGGAGAAGGACGGGGACAACGACACAUCACUGCCGCUCGGUCCACUUGAGAAGGGAGUUCCAACCUCGAGCCCACAGCAGCAACAACAGCAGCAGCAGGAGCAGCAGCAGUAGCAACAGCAGCAACAACAACAACAACAACAACAGCAGGAUCAGCAACAACAGCAACAGGAGUCGUGGGAGUUGGAGCUGCCGACCUAUGGCCUCGUGACUCUCGCGUGGUUGAAGCCGGGGCAACCAACUUCUCAUCCCGCUGAGCCAGGUCAGGAUGACUGGGUCAUGGCUCUGGCUCACCUUGCGCGUCCGCCGACCAACGUGGAGUUGGAGCCUCGGAGGACCACGUAUGGUCCCAAGGGGGUCGCCCCAGGUUACUUCGUGAGCAAGGCACCAUGGGCAGACGAGGCUGGCCCCUCUGAGUUUGGAGAAGAAGAUCAAAGGUUUCCCACAUUGGUCAAUCUGAUGUUGCGUCAUGGGGGCACGACUGAGUUCGCGGAGAACAUUUUGCGCUCGGUGAAGGAGCGGGCCAAGGAGGAACUUCCUUACUGGGGGACCCAAAAAUUCUGCCUCUUGGACACAGUCCUCUCAGAAGAAGCGUUGCUCGAGAUGGACAACCGCGCCGAGGUCGAGAAGUGGGAGAACGUAGAGGAGCUGCGACUUUGGCUGAAGCAUGCUCUCGACUUGUCCAUCAACAUCAUCAGCAAGGAUCUUCCCAAGGCUUUCUUCAUAAAUGCCCUCCUUCCCAUGUUUUUUAGUGUUGUAGGUUUCAGACACACUCCUACUGACAUCUGCCCUUGCACUUUCUUCCUCACGAUUUGAAGGAGACCUCCCGGGAGAAAUCAUGCAUUAUUCAUGCGACCAAGGGUGGAUGGGAGCAGGUUUUCGUUCUGGAGCACAUGCUCCUUUAGUCUCAGGAGACGCUUCUCAAGCGGCAAAAGGAGCUACUCCAAGCCCUGAUAGAUAAACAAAAGAAGGAGGAUGACCUGGUCGAGGCUCGAGGUGCCUUAGCAACGAUGAAUGGGAAGAUUUACAUCGCCUAAGAUGACACCGAGAAGGCCAAGGUGGAAGCUGAGAAGGCUUGAGAGGAAGCCGCCCAAUCCAGGGAGGAAGCCACCAAGGCAAAGGAGGGCAAGAAGGAGGCGGAACAGGACGUCCUCCUACUCACUGAGCGGGUUUAGCCACUACAAAAGAAAGGUACAUCGAUUUAGCCACUGCAAAAGAAAGGUACACUGAUGUGAAAACGCUGGCCAUGGAAUAUGCGGCUAUGAAAGGCGUUGCUCAGGAGGAGGAGAAAAAGGCUAAGGAGGAGCUCAAAAAAGAGAGGAGGCACUCCCGUGCUUUGGCCAGUGAUGUCGAUCAGCUAUAGAAGAUCCUGUAGGAGGAGGGAGCCAUUGCCGCGUCAGGAAAGCUGAUCGAGGACCUACGGGUCAAGAAGUCAGAGAUGGCUAGCUCCUUCGAAAGGGUCGAGAAGGUGAACACUAACUUGGUCAGCAAGAACACAUCCCUCGACGAGCGUAUGAAAGGUCCUAAUAAGGCUAGAGGGGGGUGAAUAGCCUAUUUAAAAAUUCUACAAACUCACUAGAGCAAGAGGUUAGUAAAUAACAAAGCAAAGCUUUUUGCUCUAGCUAUAAAGGAGUGUUUGCAAGCUACCUAUCCAACAAUUCUAGUUGUUAUGAUCACUAUUGAUGAGGACAUCGCUACGCUAGAUACGUUGACACCAUCAUCUUUUCCAAGUUGCAAUUCUUCUCCAACUCAGCUACCACGUCACUCUUAGAUUCAACAAACAUGUCGUCAGUGUUUUGAUCAUAACUUCUUCAUACGACAUCGAAACGGGGUGAUCUUGGACUCGUUGGAAAGGGGACAACGACGCCGUCAUUUUGGAUCUGUUCCCAGCUCCACACCUUUCAUGGAUUAAUCGUUAUGUCCAUGACAAAAUGCUACGUCACCUAUUUUGCGCCAACUUAGUCAUGUAUCGAAUUCGGGCCUUAAGCCCAUGUUGUGGGUGCCUCCCCCUGGUCGCCUCCAACCCUAGGUCGCUUCUCAUUUAUAUUCCAUGCAGCCGUCAUUGAUUAGACUUGGGUUUUGUUUACAGUUUAGUUUUCCAUCGAGAAACUGAAUCGUUCAUUGUAAUUGUGGUGACAAAUCCUUUUACAGUGAUCCAGGGCCCCCGUUCUUGAUCUCCUCCACUGUGUCGAUUAGUCCUUUGGAACCGAGUUCUUGAACCCUCAUUGAAUAUUUGUGUCAUUCAUAUCUGCAAUUUUAGAUUGCGUGUUUAUACUUUCUUGCUUGUGUUCUUCGAUUCGCUUGCAGGAAUAGCCUUCUUGGCGAGGUCAAUCAAGUUGUGCAUGGUUGAUAACCAAUGGAGCAGUGGUGUAACGGUUGCAGGGUUUGAAUCAUGCUGAUUUGAAGCCAGAUUGCCAACGUCGUGUUCUCCACAAUCAAAUUUACCAGUUACCUCUCGGAAGAUCAGGCCUGACCCUCAUCUAUCAGAUAUCUCAGGUUUACCAUAGGGUAUAAUCUCGUUUGCCCUAGAUUCAUAUUUGUUCAUUACCUACAGUCCACAAAAAGCCCAAAAAAAUUUCAUUUUCUGUUGUCCUAUCACUCAUUGUGCCUUGCAAUUUCGUUUUCAGAUUUGCUUUGUUGAGUUUGUGUCCGUGGUUGAGUCUAGUUGCUGGUUUUGAUUGUGUUCGUCGUCGUAGUUCAUUUGCACCGUUGAUGUUCUUAGCUUCCGCCGCUAUCCUAUCCACUAUUUCCAAACAACAAGUCAAAGCCAUCACAUUACUCGACUUGCCUCCACUAGCUGCCUUGUGUGAUCUCUCGCCGCCGCGCUAACUUAGAUAGGUUGUCAGCCGCUGUUAUUUUGCCUACAUCGCAGCCCUCCUUACAUCUUCAUCAGGUGAAUACCUACUGCUAUUAGUCACAGGGAUGAUUCAUCCUGUGAUCGGUGUUGGAGUUUAGGGACACUUUGCCCUAACUGCCGCCGCCGCCGACGCCAUGUUGUGCCUUCUGAAAAACAUAACUUGAGAUACCUUCGGUAAAAUAGGCAUAACUUUUUGCUCGUUUAUUAAAAAAAUAUGAAAUUCUUACAGCAGCUUGUUGACAUCAUUUGAACCCGACCCAAACUUGGCUUCGGUCUGUUUGGUCUCAGAAAAAUUGCCAAAAAAUUCAGGAAAAUAAAGAAAAAAAUUGACAAGGGUUUUGCACGCUUUUCGAAGAACUUGCUGAAGUUCUGUAGACCACAUCUGAUCUCAGUUGUAGUUGCCUAUUUUUGUGGUUACAUCUUUUCUGAUCCUUGUUCAGAGAAAAAUAUAAACAAAUAGUGAAAAAAUAAAAAAUAUUGAUUCCUACAAGUGCCUUUUGGGAAAAUCCAAGAAAAAUCAGGAUAAAAGAAAAUUCUGCUCUAUUGCUUGUUUGCUGAGUUCCUUCCAUCGUACCUUGUUGCACUACGUCUAGACACGUCUUAGCCAGCAAUUGUGAUUUGUCCUUUGGAUACUUAUUGAACUUAGCUAACUCUGCAUUCGAAUAUUGCUAAUCCUUGCUACUUAAAUUGUGCCUGUCCAAAGCUCCACAUAUACUUCUGUCAGCAUAGGUUCAUCUUGCAACUGUUUACAGACGCUCAAUAACAGAUUACUUUGCCAAUUUGGUUUUGCUCCUGUUUGGCUUUGGUAAGAACACUUGUAAGACGGUGGUAAGCCGCUUCUGAUUUUGUAUUCCACUUUUACCACCACCACCACCUCUUGGUUCCUUUUAGUUGAUAGGGAUAAUCCUUUGCUGUUGUUUUUCCCUAUUUUCUAACUAUGGCAAGAUCUUCGACGGAUUUCAAUGAUUGUCUGUCCAAGGGUGAACUUACAGCGUUCAUCACUGAACAACGUAAUCUUAUGACCGAGCUGACAUGCAAUGUGAACAAUCUAGUCACCCGCAUUGAACAGAUUGAGCAACGCCCUUGUUGACACCAUUUUUGGACACAUAUCUUUUGAUACGUACCUGGCUCGGCAGAUGGAGCAAUGGUGACUAGUCUACAAGGGAGUUGUCGAUGAAGGUGGUUGCCGAUGGGGAAACAACCGAAUAUAACCAAGUCCAGAAGUGGUGACGUGUUCGUGCUGAUGACCAGUGCCGGUGUUUGCCGAUGGCUAUAACAAGUAGUCUGCCGAUGACUCUGAAGAAAAGCGCGGAGGUUGCCGAUUGAUUCGUGGCAGUGUCCCGAUCAGUUACGGGGGAUAGUUUAAUGUUUUCCUUAGUUAUUAGGAUUCGUUUUUUAUACGGAUUCCGUUUAAAUUGGAAUUUGAGUUCUAGUCGUGUCUGGUUGUAGCUCCUUAGGACAGGGUAUAAAUUUAGACCCCGUGGCAAUGCAAUAGGCAAUCUAUCAAUCAAUCAAACACAAGUUUUUACUCAUAUUCCAGUAUCUACUUUUUCGACGACUUCGUCAUAUUUUCCUUUUAUUACGAGUUCUUAGAAAUUCAUCGAGUCAAACUCGGUGCGUUCUCAAGUUCCGCGUGAGCACGUCUUGGCCGUGACAUCCGGGCGCAUCGCUAUUGUCGGGACCAAAGUGUUUGAGUUACCACCUUUGUCGAUUGUAAGGUCAAAUUGGCUGGCACGCUUUAACGUUUGAAUCGGGUAUUAGCCCUUUGUGUUUGCAUAUCAGCUUUUGCACCAACACAUCUUUUGGCACGCCCGGUAGGAUAGAGAUUCAAGAUCAAGAUCAACUUGUCGAACACUGAUUUCGACUUGGAGAACGGCAUCCCCGUGACGGAAGCCAAUCUCAGAGAUGAGGAGAAGCAAGCUAUGGCAAAAGCCAUGGAGGACUACAAGCAUCUAUGCUUGAAAUCCUUCAAUAUCAACAGGAGUGGCGAGGUGAUCUAGAAGGAAGCGUUGCCGAUGCCUCGGCAAAUUACUUUUGAAGCCAAUCGUGGUAAACUUCAAGACAUGGUUGUCAGUGCUAUUAACCGUGCCUUAAUCAAUCAAGCUGGUGUGCUGUCCAACACGAUUUUCAACGCUGUGGCUAGAUCUUUCAAAGAAGGACAAGUACCACCAACUUAUGUGGGUCCUGCCUAUCAUCAGCCGGGGUCAUCAUUGGUCACGGCUCCAUCGGCUACUACAGCCGUUGUGAGUAUAGAAGCUACUUCUCCUCCAAGCACAUUAGGGAUCACUGAUGCGCAGUCUACACCAAUGACAACCAAUCCAUCAACAUCAGAUGGGCAAAUCAAGCUUGCCACAGAUCUAUUGGCAUCGGCAGUGUCAGGGACUGUUCCUCCCAACUGGUGGGGCUAUGGUAUGCCCCCGGAAUUGAUGGCAAAGAGUCCUGGGUCAUCUCAAGUGGCUGACGUGAUAGGCAAGGCUCCUAUGGCAUCGGCACCUCCAAAUCCGCCGAUGAAUCAAAAUCCCCAGUACUCUACAACUACUACUGCAAGACCUUACACUGGGAAUUCUCAAGCUCCAACGUUCCAGAUGCCUAAUGCAUCGGCAGAUCCAAUGGCGACGCAGCAGAGGUUCAUGACACAGCCAGGGUAUGUCAAUUCAAUGAUGAUGCCCAAUUACCAGUCAUCGGCAGGAUCUAUGCCGAUGAAUGCUAACAGUGGAUGGAUAGGGCAGUUAGUCUUUCCACAGAUGCCUCAGCAGAAUCAUCAGGCUGUAGGGUUUCAACAAGGACAAAUCCAACCUAGGUUUCAGAAUCAAGGGUUGGUCAACCAGCCGAUGAAUCUUGGUCAGCAAAUUGGUGGCCAGAUGGUUAAUCCAAUGUUCCAUGCAGAUCGUGCACCUCAGAGACACGUGGAAACUUAUCAGCAGGUGCCAGAUCCACAGCCGCCUCAUCGGCAAGAUGCCGAUGCUUAUUGGGCUGAUAAGAUAGCUGAAGUGAUGAGAGACCAAUUUGGGAUAAAACCCAAAGUCAACACUUACUCUUAUCGGACACUGUAUCCUCCUGUAUAUGACUUAAUUCCACUUCCAAAUCGGUACAAGGUACCAGAUUUCACUAAGUUUUCUAGACAGGAUGAUACAUCGACUAUGGAACAUGUUAAAAGGUUUAUCAUCCAAUGUGGAGAAGCUGCUAACAGAGAUGAGUUAAGGGUUCGCUUGUUCUCCUGGAUCGACUUUUACUUGGUUUAUUUCGUUACCUCCCAACUCAGUAAUCACUUGGGCCGAUCUAGAGAAACAAUUCCACAAAUACUUCUUUUCUAGAGUCCAUGAAAAGAAGAUUACCGAUUUAGUCAGGCUGAAGCAAUGCAAUGAUGAAUCAGUUGAGAGCUUUGUGCAGAGGUUGCGAGAGGUUAAGAAUAAGUGCUAUAGUCUGGUUCUGGAUGAUCGGCAGCUAGCCGAUUUGGCUUUCCAGGGAUUGUUGCCACAUAUCAGAGACAAGAAUGCUUCUCAAGAGUUCGAGAGCCUAAGUCACUUGGUGCAGAGGAUUUCUGACCAAGAUAUCAAACCCUUUGAGCCUAAGAGAGCAUGGAAUAAAAAGGUGUCAUUUGUCGAUGAGGCAGCAAGCUCAGACUCUGAUGAGGAACCAGUCAUCGGCUUGGCAGAGUGGGUAAAAAAUAAGAAGCCGAUGUCUUGCCAUUUUGGGCAUAAAGAGCCAGAGAAAUUUGCAUUUGACAUCACCAAGGCCGAUAGGAUAUUUGACUUUCUACUUCAGGAAGGGCAAAUCAAGUUAUCACCCAAUCAUGUGAUUCCAUCAGCUGAAAAAUUAAAGAAGAUGAAGUACUGCAAGUGGCACAAUGCAACAUCUCACAGCACAAAUGAGUGCAAGGUUUUUAGGCAACAGCUGCAAUCGGCUAUAGAAUCUGGGAGAAUUAAGUUUGACAAUUCCAAAGUUCAGAAGCCGAUGAAGAUCGACCAGCAUCUGUUCCCAACAAAUAUGUUGGAUGCUAAGGGAAAGACCAAGGUUUUAACAUUAGAGGCAGCUGAAAGAAGUGCAUCAGUGGAUCCUUAACAUCAGAUUACUACCGAUGAUGCUAAAGGCAAAGGUCUGAUUCAGGAAGGAACCAGCUCAGGAAGGCUUCCCCGAUCGGUUAUUGUAAUUACUCAUAGAAGGCAUCGGGAAACCAGGCAACAACGUGAAGAUCGGUAUCAGCGCCAACAGGAGGAUUAUCGUCGGAAAGAAGAAAGACGCCGGCAGGAGUGGAAUCGGCAUAAAGAUCAUCGGAAUUGCUCGUUCUUUAUCCACUGUUGGGAACAGAACAUCAAUUUGUCCACUGUUAGAGACUGCCCUGAGUGCAAUGGUUAUGAUUGGUAUGAUAGACCUAAUCGGCGGUAUCAAAACAAUGAUCGGCGAUUUAAUGGGCCGAUUAGGGGGAGAGCUUCGGUUCAUGAUCGGUUGGGGGGCAGGCCCAGUGUGCCUAACAGACUUGGUGAUCGUGUCGGGUACUUUCCCAAGAGCCAAGAAGAAGAUGAAGAAAUGGCGGAUGCAUGAGUACCCGAUGAGUUCAUAUUUUGUAGGGAUGCUAAUACUUAUCGAGUGGAGUCAAGGGAAAAUCAUCGUCCAUCGGUAAGACAGCCGCAAUGUUGUCCAGAGGGGUUGACUAGAACGCAGAAAAGAAGGUUGCAGCGAGAAAGACGAGAAGAUUUGAGCAGAGGGGAGAAUUCUAGCAAAUCUGGAGAUCAGCAGCAGCCGGAUCCUAAAGGAAAAGGGCCAUCGACAGAUGUUAACAUGGUAUUUAUGUUGCCGAUGGAGUUCCUUGCGCCGUCCAGUGAUGAUGAGGAGUUGGAUUUUUCGACCAGAUAGCUCAGUUGGCUCUGGAUCCGAUGACGGCUAUCUUUGAAAAGCCUUCCGACAAUGAAAUGCAGCAUCUUAACGCUCUAUUCGUCAAAGGAAGGGUUGAUGGGCAGCCGAUGACCAAGAUAUUAGUUGAUGGUGGGGCUGCUAUUAAUAUUAUGCCAUAUGCAGUCUAUCGGAAGCUUGGGAAAGGAGAUCGAGAUUUGACCGAGACCGAUAUGAUACUAAAAGACUUCGAAGAAAAUGUGUCUCCGGUUAAGGGAGCAAUAUGCGUCGAGUUGACCAUCGGUAGCAAAACCUUGCCGACAACUUUCUUUGUGAUCAGUGGAAAGGGUGCUUACAACCUAUUGUUGGGGAGAGAUUGGAUCCAUGCCAAUUGUUGCAUCCCGUCUACAAUGCACCAAUGUUUGGUUCAGUGGGUAGGCGACAAGAUUGAGAUUGUCCCAGGAGAUUCUUCAUACGUCAUUGCAUCUGCAGAGGCAGACACUUAUGAAAGGACCAGGUGCAUCUCUAGAGAAAUUUGGGAAAAGGAUUUCCUCAAGGUUGCCGAUUAUGAAAUUCCACCGAUCGAAGCAGUCGGUUCUGAUGAGGAGUUUUAAUGGAUAGGUUCGCCAAUGAUGGAAAAUUAGGCCAGGGGUUUACAUCGGCUGAUGAUUUAGUAGAAGUAGAUAUAGGUAAUGGAGAUAAGCCAAGGCCUACUUUUAUUAGUGCUAAGUUAAAUUCUGAGUGUAAGCAACAAUUAACCGAUUUGUUAAAGGAAUAUAAAGAUUGCUUUGCUUGGGAUUAUACUGAGAUGCCUGGUUUAGACCGAUCCAUUGUUGAACAUCGGUUGCCUAUCAAAUCUGGAUUUCGGCCACAUCAGCAGCCGGCUUGCCGAUGUAAUCCUAAUAUCCUUCCUGAUAUUAAGGCCGAAAUAACUAAACUUAUUGAAGCUAAAUUUAUUCGGCAGUGUUGGUAUGCCGAGUGGAUUUCUAAUGUUGUUCCAGUUUACAAGAAAAAUGGGAAGCUUCGAGUCUGCAUUGAUUUCAGAAAUCUUAACAAGGCUACGCCGAUGGAUGGCUACCCAAUGCCAGUUGCCGAUUUGCUAGUUGAUGCUGCAGCUGGACAUCGGAUUAUUAGCUUCAUGGAUGGCAAUGCAGGAUAUAAUCAGAUAUUCAUGGCUGAACAAGAUAUUCCAAAGACCGCAUUUAGAUGUCCUGGUCAUGUUGGGUUGUUUGAAUGGAUAGUCAUGACCUUUGGCUUGAAAAAUGCUGGUGCUACUUAUCAGAGGGCUAUGAAUUUUAUCUUUCAUGAGUUCAUCGGCAAGCUGGUAGAAAUUUACAUUGAUGAUGUGGUGGUUAAGUCUGGAGAUUUCACAAAGCAUCUUGCCGAUUUGCAAAAGGUGUUGGAGUGUACAAGGAAACAUGGUUUAAAAAUGAAUCCUAAUAAUUGUGCAUUUGGCGUAUCGGCAGGGCAAUUUCUUUGUUUCAUGGUGCAUCAGAGAGGAAUUGAAAUUAGUAGGAGAUCUAUUGAUGCCAUCAACAAGAUAGCAGCUCCUACCAACAAAACUGAACUCCAGUCUUUGAUCGGCAAGGUAAAUUUUAUCAGGCGGUUUAUAUCUAAUUUGUCUGGUAAAAUUCGUGCUUUUAGCCCUUUGCUUAAAUGGAAAGCCGAUCAAGAGUUUGUAUGGGGAAAAGAGCAACAAUUAGCCUUGGAUGAAAUCAAGAAUUAUUUGACAAAUCCUCCAGUUCUGAUCCCACCUCAGCAAGAAAAGCCUUUUAGAUUGUAUUUGUCUACCGAUGGGAUGGUUAUCGGUUCGGCUUUGAUUCAAGAAUUUGAAGGGAAGGAACGUGUGAUUUAUUAUUUGAGUAGAAGGCUGAUUGAUGCUGAGACCAGGUAUUCGGCAUUUGAAAAAUUAUGUUUAUGCCUAUAUUUUUCAUGUAUCAAAUUAAGGCACUAUUUGCUAUCGGCCGAAUGCACUGUUAUAUGCAAAGAUGAUGUAGUCCGAUACAUGUUAUCUAUGCCGAUUAUGAGUGGUAGAAUCGGUAAAUGGAUUUUGGCAUUGUCGGAAUUUGAUCUACAUUACGAAUCGGCUAAGGCAGUUAAGGGGUAGAUUAUGGCUGAUUUUGUAACUCAAUAUUGUGGUAUGACGGGUACUUUGGAAAUUGUUCCUUGGACUCUCUUCUUUGAUGGAUCCACGUGUGACAGGGGGGCAGGAAUCGGCAUAGUACUAAUCUCCCCACAAGGAAGGAAGUAUGAGUUCUCUUUGUCGAUUGUUGCCACGUCAACAAAUAAUCAAGCUGAAUAUCAAGCUUUGAUCAAAGGGUUGGAAUUAUUAAAAGAAGUUCAGGCUGAUGCUGUUGAAAUUUUCGGAGAUUCUAUGCUUGUCAUAAAUCAACUGGCUGGAAUUUAUGAAUGCUGAAACGAGAUCCUGAUAGCCUAUUAUGAAAAGAGUAUGCAACUAUUAAAGGAAUUCAAGGAUUUCCGAUUAGAGCAUGUUCCUCGGUUACAUAAUGAGGAGGCUAAUCGGUUGACUUAGCAUGCCUCGGGAUAUCAACCCAUAUUGAAUGUGUUAUCGGUAAAUAGUGCCGAUGAUUGGAGAAAGGAGGUCAUUGAUUAUUUAAGGGAUCCAUCUAAGAAGGUUGAGAGGCAUAUCCGGUUUCAAGCUAUCAAGUAUGUGCUCCUCGAGGAUGAGCUAUAUUAUAGAACAAUAGAUGGGGUUCUUCUCAAGUGCUUAGGUGAUGAUGAAGCUAAAAGUUUGAUGGGAGAAAUCCAUGAAGGAGUGUGUGGAGCACAUCAGUCGGCUUUUAAGAUGAAAUGGAUGAUCAAGAGAAAUGGGUAUUAUUGGCCGACCAUACUUGAGGAUUGUUUUAAGUAUUUCAAAGGAUGUCAAGGAUGUCAGAAAUUUGGCAAUAUUCAAAGGGAACCCGCAUCGGCCAUAAAUCCCAUUAUUAAACCUUGGCCGUUCCGGGGAUGGGCUAUUGAUCUAAUCGGCCAGAUUUACCCUCCAUCGAGCAAAGGGCAUAAGUUCAUCUUAGUUGCCACUGAUUAUUUCAUUAAGUGGGUUGAGCUAUUCCUUUGAAGAAAGUUACAUCGGCUAAUAUGAUUGAUUUUGUGAAAGUGCAUAUUGUGUACCGAUUUAGUAUUCCUCAAACAAUUACUACCGAUCAGGGUACUAUGUUUACAUCAGGAGAGUUUGAUGAAUUUGCAAUCGGUAUGGGAAUUAAAGUGUUGAAUUCUUCUCCUUAUUAUGCUCAAGCCAAUGGGCAGGCCGAGGCAUCUAACAAAGGAAUUAUUAAACUUAUCAAACGGAAGAUUGAGGAAAAUCCUCGGAGGUGGCAUACAUUGUUGAAUGAAGCUUUAUGGUCAUAUCGGAUGGCUUGUCAUGGGUCGACCAAAGUUUCACCUUAUCAGUUGGUGUAUGGGCACGAUGCAGUACUACCAUGGGAAAUUAAGACUGGGUCUAGGCGACUAUCUUUCCAGGAUCAGUUGACUGCCGAUGACUAUGCUACUUUGAUGAAAGAUGAGUUAGAUGAUUUAGCAGGACAUCGGCUCAAAGCUUUGAUAAGUAUAGAAGAAAAUAAAAAGAGAGUUGCUAAGUGGUGUGAUAAAAAGGUAAAGGCUAAGGAGUUUGCCGAUGGUGAUUUGGUAUGGAAACUGAUAUUACCGAUUGGGACUAAAAGUUCAAAGUUUGGUAAGUGGUCUCCCAAUUGGAAAGGUCCUUAUCGGAUAAAUCGGUCUGCUCCUGGUAAUGCCUAUAUUUUGGAAACUCUCGAAGGAGUUGAAUUUCCUAGAGCAUUGAAUGGAAAAUAUUUAAAGAGGUAUUACCCAAGCAUAUGGGUCCAUGCAUAAAAGUUUAAGUGCCGAUAACACUCCUAUCGGCUGGAUUGAAAUGUAUCUGGGACUAAAUACGAUGUUUCAAAAGGAUGCCGAUAACAGUCCUAUCGGCUAGACCAAAAUAAUCAGUAGUUUUUGAAGAAAGAGCAAAACACGCCGCCAAUGAAGAGCUUAUACAUUCAGCAGAGCUUGGAUCACCGAUAUGGCACGCAGACGAAUUUGAUCGGCUUCUUCUAUCUCCUUGAUGUCUUUAUCGACAGAGCCCUCCACUGGCUUCAGCUUCUUCUCCAUCUGCAAUGCCUUGCAGGCUUGAAUGUUUUGCUCUUGUUCUAGGGUCUUGAUCAUUUCGGGUAGCUGACUUUCUUCUUGCUAAGCUUGGGAAAGAGCCUCUUCUACCUGCUUGAGCUCUGCUAAUAGGGUUUCUCUUUUUGCCGAUAGGUCAGAGAUUUUCUGCCUCAGUGUCUCUCCUGAAGAUUGUAGGAUGCCGAUGCUCUUGUGUUUCUCAUCGGCAAGGUGUUUCACUUUCAUUACCUCCUCUGAGAGUUGGGCAUGGGUGGCUCUAUCGGCAAGGCGCUGAGUGGCCUUUUGGUACUGGAGCUGACGGCUCUCCAAAUGUGCAGCCUUGAAGAGGAUCUCUUUGGCAUUGGCAGGGAUUUGGCCUCUAAGAGCUUUAAACAGAGCCUUGACUGGAUCAGAGUCAUCAACCAGUUGAGCUGUAUCCUGAUGAAGCAGGGCCAACAGAUCUUCUAGCUUUGCUCUGAUUUCUGCUGAUGAAAUCCUGACUGCUUGAGAAGAGCUUGCUUCCUCGCCUUCAUCAUCAGAAAUUUCAAUGGCGAAGGAGAACAGGCUAUCAGGAGAAUCUUGCUCCUGAAAAGGAAAAGGAAAUAGGUUAUUUGAUUACCAAAUGUUAGUGAAAUAAAGGACGAAGGUCAAAUAACUUACUUGUUUCAGAGCUAUUUCUCGUCUUUGGCUAGUUGAUGCCGAUGGCACCACGGGUUGAUCGGCUGGAGUUGCCGAUGGAAUAAUGUUAACUGAAAAAAUGAUAAUGGUUGUUAUAAGUUGGAGAAACAGAUCCAUCGGCAAUAAUUUUAUGGACAGUACUUUACCUUGAGGGGGUGCAGUGCUUGUCUGAAUUGAGGAGACUACCGAUGCUACGAUUGAACCCACUGGAUCGGCGGUCUGCUCAUGUACAUCGGCUGAUGUCUCUUCUGGCUGAGGUUCUUCUUGUGGCUGAGGUGCAGAUGGUGCUUGUUGUGUCUGAGCCUCUGGUGAAGAAGGGGACGAAUCCACAUGAAUCAGUGACCCUAGAGGAGGAGGAGGAGGCGUUGCUGUUUUCUGACGCUUUGCUUGUGACUUAGUACUCUUGGGGCCCUUUCUCUUAGCUUGACUAGCCUGGGGGGCAUCGGCACUUGUCUUGGUACUUCUGGUUUUUGCCGAUUUGCCGGAUUGCUGGUACAACAACAGAAGUUUCAUAAGUACAAGCGUGACGGAGUAUUAAUAGAAUUUUGGUCGAAACAGUGAAAGUUACCGAUGAAGUUCCCAUGGCAGCCGAUGUAUCCUGAAAAGGCUGUGUAAGUAUAGAAUAGAAUCAGUAUAAAUUGAAGAAGUAAAGAUUUUCUACAUUGAAAGCUUGCACCAAAGCAGCAGCAGCGACCGAUGGAGAUGUCUUGGCCCGCUUGGUGGUAAUUUUCUUGAAACGCACGCCCCGGUGCAUUAAAGCCGCCAAGCUUGGUGCAUUGUUGCCGAUCAAAGAGAUCGGGCCCGAUGGGAGGAGUUCGAUCAGCUUGCCACUUCUGUUGACUAACGGUGGUGUAUCGUCGACCUGUGUAAAACAGAGGAAGUAAGUUGCCGAUAAGAACGAAAGUAAUUGGUGUUGACGGUCCUUAAGUAUCAAAUAUAAUCAUCAAAUAAAUAAAGAAAAGGAUCCAAAUGCAACCAACACCUAGACUUAGGGUUUUAUCUGACAGAAUUCCACGAGUUUUGGUGUUUGUCUAUUUCUGCAGGGGUUAUCAGGAAAUAUGGAAGAAAGGCCCACACGUCGGGAUUACAUAGAGAUAUUAACGUGCCGCGCAAUUUUCUAUCAUCUAGAAGACUCCAAAAGCCACGGGAAUGAACGGGAGGCCGAACGGGCCCGGGGGCAGGGCGCCCGCCCUCUCCCCUUGGGCGCCCGCCCAAGUGUUUCCACCAAUCACAGAAUGGAGUACAUCAUUGCAAAGAUCUCGUCGAGCUGAUCGAAAUGCAUAUAUUAUUUGCUAUAUUUGGAGUUCGGAAUCAAGAGAUAUUAAUAAAAGAAGCACUCCACAUAAAAGAGCUGCGGGAUUAAUUGGGCCCAAAUCAGAUUUUGGUCCAUUAAGGCCUAUGUGCAUUUUAAUGAGAUAUGGUGGAAAGUUUAGUACCACAUCGCCUGCUGAACCAAAAACGCAUAGGGGAGGAGGACUAUAUAAGGAGACCCCCCUGGCCCCUGGAGAAGACAAGAAAUUAUCAUAGAGAUUGAGGGGUGCCCUCGAAGGAAAACCUCUUCUCUAAAUAAUAUUUCUUUUUAGGCUUAGCAACCAAUGUAAGUAGAAAUAGAUCUUCUAGUUUCUACUAGAUUGAGAGAGAUAGAGUGGAGGUGUAGAUCGGAGGAAGGCCGGCCUGUCGGUGUCUACUUCGAGUUGUACCUGCGGGAUCAAGUCUCCUAACCCGAGGCUUGCUUCUAAGAUUCUUCAGUAAUUCGACUUCUAAUUCUAGUAAGUUCUUGUUUUAUUGUUCUUUGGUUUAUGAGUUUACUUUAAUCCUCUUCCGGUUGAGUAUUAGAGUAAUCAUUGCUAGCAUAAACGUGGUGUUUAGGCUAGGGUACUCAUAGAUAUCCCCUGACUAGCUAGACCGUGGUAGUAGCGAGGAACGUGACAUUUCUGAGUUACCUCUGUAUCCCAUAUCUUGUUAGCAGGACGGGUAGGUUUAUAGGUGCGGGUCGAACAUCCUUUGUGGUGUCUAGAUUCCGUAAGCUUCCCUAAUAGAACAGUAGAUCAUCCUUACUAAGAUUAGAACGAGACUACGGUUGCAGUCUUCUCUAUACAUCGCUCACAUCGAGAGACAUUCUUUGUAGCCUAAAGGGAUAGUAGCAAUAGAUUUGGUUAGUCAGAUGCACCCUUUCUUCCAGUGGUAAAAAUAUAAAUACGAUAACUCUGAAUAACCUCCCGGGUGAAAUGCUCACCGAUAUCCGUGCGCUUGCGGAUCAUUUCCUUAUUGCGUUACCAAAUAUCAACAAGCAUUUCUGGCACCGUUGCCGGGGAGAAAGACGGUUUGCUGAGAUAACUUUGAGUCUUGCUAUUAUCUUGUAUUAUACUUUUAUACUUUUAUUCUUUUAUCUUUUUAUUUUUAUCUUUAUGGAUAACUCAAAUUCCAUACCUAUUAUUAAAUUCUUUGCACCUUCGGAGACCAGCCAUAGACCAUGGGAGUCAACAAGUCCUGCCCCUAAUUAUGAUCUGUGUCCGGAGUUGAUUCCAAUAGGUCAAAACCAACCCUUUUCUAUAGCCGAGGUCCUAUCUUUUAAUCAAGAAGAUAAUGCACUUUUAGCUACACCUAGGGAAUCUAUUAAUCUUUCUAUAAAUUCUGGUUUAGACCUAGCCCUACAAGACCAUGUUUUUCCAAGAUAUUUUCACAUUGGUCUUAAUCAUAUAAUUUUUGGUAGAGUCUUUCUUUCUUUAUCUAUUAGUAAAGGAAGGUAUGUCUUCAUUUGUGGACAUCCUUCUUGUACUAGUCUAUAUAGAAAAAUCUUAGAGAUAGAGAAGGAAUCAUCUCCCAUACAAGGAGAGGAAGUUUCAAUAGCCGAUUUCCAAACAUUUCAAUCCCAUGAUUCGGCUAUCCAACCCAUCCUUGAGCUUAAUAAAUUCUACUAUGCUCUUUCUCUUGAUCCUCCCGAUAAUCCUAUGAAUCUCUCUAGACAUCCCAUGCAUAAGAAGGAGGAUCGAGAAGAGCAACAUCAAUGGCUAGAGGGCAUUAAAAAUCCAUGUGCUAUCACCAUUGAAUGGAUAGAUAAAACAAACUUGAGAGACAAUCCUAGAGGAAUUUUAACCAUUCAUGAAGAAUCAUCCUUGGAGUUUGAGAAUGAGAGAAACAGCAGUGAGCAUGGAAGUUAUUUCAUAAAUACCUCACCCAGUCCUUGCUCAUAUAAAACAUCUCUCCAAUCAAUUGGUCUCUCCAUCCUUAUUACAUUUGAGAUCUCCAACCCCCUCUUCUUUUCUAUUUAUAACAACUUUAAAAGAGCGGUUGUCGAUGCAUAUGUCUAUAAUAAAUAUUGCAGAUCUCGUUGAGUUAAUCUUGAUAUAGGUUGGUGUUGGAGGGGAAACGACUUCACCAACAUAACUUGAUGAUUUCCUAGGGAUAAGCUUAGCGUCCUUAAACAAGCGCUUAUCAGAUCGUAACAUGAACUUCUAAUUAUUUGCAACAUUGCCUUGUGUAUUGAGCAUAUUGAGAUAAUUGUAGAAAUAUUCCUUCGGGUAUUCUUGCCACUAACCUUUCCAAGAUUGGAGCAAGAAGAUCCGAGGAAUGACAAGCGCAAGGUAUGCCCAUCCAAUCAUCAUGCAACAUUGAAUUAAAUUCAUCCAAUCUUGAAUUUUGCAAACUUCAAGCUUGGGGGAGUACUUUACAUAAAAACAUCAUUUGCCAUGUUGCUAUGUUGGUUGCCCUUACCUUUGAGACAUGCUCAAUUUGUUAAAUACUAAUCACACUACUUUAUCUUCACUUGAGUAGAUCUCUAUAAAUGCCAUCAUGCUACCUAUGUUUAUCUUAAGUAAGUGUUGGUUUGGAAGUACUGCACAUACUUCUAUUGGCUUUUAAAUUAAGCAUGGUGCUUAGGUUAAACAGCCUUCCUUAAUCUGAUUAGACAUGGAGUCUAGUUCGAUUAUUGAACUAAAAACUGCUUGUGUAGACAUUGGUAUAUUUUGUUGGACUAACCCCUGCAGAAAAACUUUCAAUAUCAACCUGGGAAGUCUUGAGAUACAAACUCACUGGAGACAAAGGAGACACAUGAAGUUUAACAAUUUGCACAAGAAGGACAUAGCUCAUUCAUCAUAAAGAGAUGAUCUAUGUAGGGUGCCACAAACACGAUGCACAACCGCUAAGAAAGGAAAGCUUCCACAAGGUGAUACUAUACCAUCACUCUUCAAGUAAGGUGACAUCUUAAGGUACUUGAUUAUCGCUUUUAUAAGUUUUUCCUUUGUUCUGGCAUUCACUUAAAAUAAAGAGACAAACAUGUAUCAUUUAUAACUCCAGAUUAACCAACUCAAUUAAUUCAACAUGUUUAGUCCUUUAAUCUUUGUUCUUAGUACCACCUUCAUGAUCCCACACUCCUAAUCAUAUAAGCUAAAGUGUUGCACAUUCAAUCUUUGGAAGAUAUAAACAAAACAUAAAUAUAGAUAGAUUAUCUUUCCAUUAGGUUGAGCCAUCUGAUCUAACAAAUGUUUUAAAUGCUACACUCAUGAUCCAUUAACUUUGUCUUGCUCACUAUGCUUAAGGUUAGAGAAGAAUAAAUACACUUUUGGUUCUGUUGGUGUUUUCCACCAACAGGGCCCAUGCACUUGAUCUCUGCCUUGUCUCUAUGAAUAGGUACACUUCAAACAAAACAUGGAGGAGUUUUACAACUCCCAGAUUUCACCUAGUGAAGAACCUGGAUCUACGAGCACAAACACACUGAGCAGGAUAUUGCCAACACCGCACUUCGAACUGCUGGGCAAACAAAGAACAUGGGUGACUCCAUAUCAAGAGGUGCAGACGUCAAGGUCCACACCUAAACAAAUGAUGCACCUAAAGGAUGAAGACAGUGAGAAGUUUUGACUAGAAUACUUAAAACAUUGGAUCCUUGUCGGAGGAGGUCAAGAUCGUCAACUCAAGUCGCCUUUCCUAAUCAAGAAGGAUGACCCUGGUGUUCCAAGCAUCGAGUGCACAAUCAAUAGAUACUCUUUUUAGAAGACACUCUACGACACCAGAUCUGACGACAACAUAAUAGCCGCAGUCACUUAUCAGCUCCUGCAUGGAACCAUGCUCCUACAACCAAGAUACAUUCAGCUCCAGACGAUUUUCAGGUCAUUGACAUGGGAGACGACGAGUACGAUCCUCAACACUACCAAAGCCAUCAUCUAUAUUGGAACCGGAGAAGUCCACAUGCACUUCCCCUCUGAGAAGGUAUGCCGCUGUUUUACUGACCCUAACUAUAUAGUUGAAGACUCUAAGCAGGUCAGGACAAGAAGAAGACGAUGCAACCGCAACCAGAGGAGGCAAAAUCAUCAAGAACGGAUGGGUAGACUACGAAGGAGAAGUGAUAAGGUCUGAAGACAUACAGCUUGAACAGAACUGUCAUGAGGAGACCGUAGCACCGAGUCAUGUGUGGAGAGAAGAAGAUAGUUAUACACGAAGAGGAGGCGCCACCGGAAUCACCGACUACGCCACCUAGCGAAUCCCAGGACGACUGAAAACACAAGGAGUCCCGUUCGGAGGACUUAAAAAUACCGAACGCCUUGCCAAGAGGUAAACUUGGUAGUUAUCCUUUUCCAUUCAAUAGUUUGCUUAGUUAAUCAGGUUCAUGCUAUCUUGAAAAGAAAAUAAAAAUGUUAAAAAAAAUAGUAAACCCCAUGUGAGUAUGCUCAUGGCAUAAAACCCAUAAGUACAUUCACUGUGGUGGCAUAAAAAUAAAAUAAAUAAGUUUUCAUCUUACAAUAAAAAAAUAUAAAAAUAAUAAAUGCAUAAUCCUGCUAAAUAAGUAAUAGUUAUUGAGGAGGCUCAAUAUGAUAAAGGCUAGAUAUUUAUGCUAACACUUAACCAGUUCCACAAAACUUUGUUGUCUAUUUGAGCUCUACAGAAUUUAAGAAUCAAGAAGACUAGCAGACGGAGGACAUUCUAAUCGCUGUCAGAAUGUUGCUGACUUUCAAAUACACCUCUGCCACCUGCUAGCUACAUCAGAAGAAAUUACGUCAAAAUCUAGCUUGGGGGAGAGCACCCCCAUUUAUCCAGCUAAGUGUUUCUACUCGCAUUUAUACUUUACUCAAAUAAUAAGAGAUGCAUAAUCAUGAAAACCCAAAUAAAGAUUUUGUGCUUUUCUUUGCUUAGUUUGCUAAAUAAAUAAAUAAAUAAAAUUUGCUAUGAACCCUCAUGAUAAGCUCUCUCAUGGAAAUGAUGAAUAGUUGCUCUGCCAUGACUAGUUCUUAAAAUUGAAAUCUCUCUCAAGUUUAGGCAUGACUGUUAUGAAUUAUGAUUUGCUCUAAAUCUGAACUUGUGGGAUGAGUACUUGAUCUAAAGUCUAAGUCGUUAACGGAUAUGAUAUGGGAAGGUUGAGCUGCUGUUUAUCUAUUCCUAGAGAUGCUAGAAUUCUGGAGAAUUUUAUCUUUGGAAAAUCUUUAAAAUAACACAUGAUGAGUUCCUAUAUGAUGAGAGUUUAAAUUCCUACCACAGGCAUAUAUACAUGCUUGCUAGACUUUGAGCCACAUAUUUACUUUUUUACUGCUUAUGAGCAUUGAGUGUGGUCAAGCUGUGUAGACCCUUAGGAGCUUGUCAUGUGGUUAAAAUCAAGAUUCACUUGCACGUUCACUCAUACAUGCUACUUCUACUCCGGAAGUGCCAUCCACAUAUAUCCACUCAUUUCCAUCUCCACAUUCACCCGAAAUUAUUCUACUCCUAAUCCGGGAGAGAAUAGCCAAAAAUAUUUUCCUAUCCCUGUUAUUCCCUGUGAAAUAAAUGCUUGAGUUAUCUUGGUUACUACCACUUGCUAUAUUAUUUAAGGAGAUGAGUGCUCUAAAAAAAGAAAAAAAAUACGAGGAAAUAAAAAGGGGCAAGUGCCCGGAACCUCGAAGAAAAAGAAUAAAGUGAGACGAGAGGUAAAAAUGGACAAGUGUCCGACAGUAGAAUUAGGGGUGCAUGAUACCCACCUGAGAGGAAAAAAAGAAAAUAUAGAGCAUCUCAUUCUCCCCAAAAAGCUUCACAGUGCAAGAAAGGUAUGUAUUCCCUCAAAAGAGCAAAAGUAGAAUUAGACUUUCACCAUUAUUAUCACCAUCAUCACCAUACGCCAUUCAUUCGCCACACAUGCACAUCUUGAUUUGACUUAUUGACUUGUUUCUCUGGAUCCAUGGUUUGACUAUGCAAUAAAUGUCUUGUAAGUAUGUAUUAGCUGUCUCCCACCUAUGAGCUCCAGAUAUCAAAACCUUAUUAGAGUAGGGUGAGAGAGAAGGCAAUAUCACUAUGCAUUACACCAAAAAUACCACAUACUUUGAGAGAAGGCAUAUACAAUUAUUGCCGUGGUAAGGAUCCAGAAAUACCACAAAAGAGAGAUUCGAGAGAAUCAUAUAAGGAAUCUCUAAGUUUUAUUUGAAAAUCUACAAAAACUCCAGAGCUAUAGCUGAUCAAGUAUAAGAGACAUGGCGCUUGAUUUGACCGUUCUAUCUUUUAACUGCUCAAGACACAAGUGACGGUUACAAGCCCCAUGGUGAAAGGUAAAAUGAGUAAGUUUUAAGUCUUAACAAUUUAUUCUCAGAGAUGAGAUCUUGCUUGAAUGCGUGUGUACUUUUAAGGCAUGAAACCACUGCAGAAACUCUUGAGUUCAUCCUUGCUCAGGGACGAGCAAGAGGUAAUCUUGGCGGAGUUUGUUGACGGUCCUUAAGUAUCAAAUAUAAUCAUCAAAUAAAUAAAGAAAAGGAUCCAAAUGCAACCAACACCUAGACUUAGGGUUUUAUCUGACAGAAUUCCACGAGUUUUGGUGUUUGUCUAUUUCUGCAGGGGGUUAUCAGGAAAUAUGGAAGGAAGGCCCACACGUCGGGAUUACAUAGAGAUAUUAACGUGCCGCGCAAUUUUCUAUCAUCUAGAAGACUCCAGAAGCCACGGGAACGAACGGGAGGCCGAACGGGCCCGGGGGCAGGGCGCCCGCCCUCUCCCCUUGGGCGCCCGCCCAAAUGUUUCCACCAAUCACAGAAUGGAGUACACCAUUGCAAAGAUCUCGUCGAGCUGAUCGAAAUGCAUAUAUUAUUUGCUAUAUUUGGAGUUCGGAAUCAAGUGAUAUUAAGAAAAGAAGGACUCCAUAUAAAAGAGCUGCGGGAUUAAUUGAGCCCAAAUCAGAUUUUGGUCCAUUAAGGCCUAUGUGCAUUUUAAUGAGAUAUGGUGGAAAGUUUAGUACCACAUCGCCUGCUGAACCAAAAACGCAUAGAGGAGGAGGACUAUAUAAGGAGACCCCCCUGGCCCCUGGAGAAGACAAGAAAUUAUCAUAGAGAUUGAGGGGUGCCCUCGAAGGAAAACCUCUUCUCUAAAUAAUAUUUCUUUUUAGGCUUAGCAACCAAUGUAAGUAGAAAUAGAUCUUCUAGUUUCUACUAGAUUGAGAGAGAUAGAGUGGAGGUGUAGAUCGGAGGAAGGCUGGCCUGUCGGUGUCUACUUCGAGUUGUACCUGCGGGAUCAAGUCUCCUAACCCGAGGCUUGCUUCUAAGAUUCUUCAGUAAUUCGACUUCUAAUUCUAGUAAGUUCUUGUUUUAUUGUUCUUUGGUUUAUGAGUUUACUUUAAUCCUCUUCCGGUUGAGUAUUAGAGUAAUCAUUGCUAGUGUAAACGUGGUGUUUAGGCUAGGGUACUCAUAGAUAUCCCCUGACUAGCUGGACCGUGGUAGUAGCGAGGAACGUGACAUUUCCGAGUUACCUUUGUAUCCCAUAUCUUGUUAGCAGGACGGGUAGGUUUAUAGGUGCGGGUCGAACAUCCUUUGUGGUGUCUAGAUUCCGUAAGCUUCCCUAAUAGAACAGUAGAUCAUCCUUACCGAGAUUAGAACGAGACUACAGUUGCAGUCUUCUCUAUACAUCGCUCACAUCGAGAAACAUUCUUUGUAGCCUAAAGGGAUAGUAGCAAUAGAUUUGGUUAGUCAGAUGCACCCUUUCUUCCAGUGGUAAAAAUAUAAAUACGAUAACUCUGGAUAACCUCCCGGGUGAAAUGCUCACCGAUAUCCGUGCGCUUGCGGAUCAUUUCCUUAUUGCGUUACCAAAUAUCAACAAUAGGAUUGAGGCAUCGGUUGAAGACUUACAGUGUUCUCAAGGACCUUGUACGUGGAGUCGAUCAUACUGCGGUAUGUAAGAGCCGAUCUGUAGAACAAAUGCUCUUAACACUCCGCCCACCAUUGUUUAUAAGCCGAUAAGUCGAUGUCUGAUGUAUCGGCAUUUGGUGGGAGUUGAGCUAUUCUGAUCCACUCAAGACCACUGGUGAUGAUCUCCCUUGGCUUCAACACAUUUGCAUAACAGAGCGCAAUCGGCAGCUGUCCGAAGGCCAAUUGACGAGCCAGUGCCGAUGGAUUGUAGAACUCGUAGGUAAGGUUAGAGGGUUUCCCACUACCAAAGAAGUUCACUGGUAUAACUCUCGGAGUGAUAAUUGCCAUCAUCAGAUCAUGGUCCUUAUUGAGAGCAUUAGCAAAGGGAUGAAAAGUUAGGGGAAAUCUGGUGUCUGGAUCCUCAUAAGGCAUCCAUGCCCGCUGUUCUUUGGUCAGACCCUCAUAAAGAGUCUGAAAGAAUCGGCUAACCUGAUCUUCAUUACUACCGGUACCAGGUAGAACUAUGGCAGCUUCACCAUAGUUCAAAGGGGAGCGAGUUGCCGAUUCUUCCUCGUCCAGCUCAUGAUCUUCGGCUAUAUCUCUGGGGAAGCGCUGUGCAAAAAGGUUGAAUUCAAGGCGCUUAUGCAUGUGGACACUAAGCCACAUGUUGAUGAACCACCAGGGUCCCCCUAUGUUGCCGAUGGGUUGGCCUAGCAGGAGUUUCUUAGCUAACUGGCGAAGGCGGUGAUAAACACAGCCGAGCAGGUAUCGGCCAAGAGAAAAUCGGCCACCAUUGGCCAGUCUUUCUACUACCGAUAGAUAGACAGAGGUUGGUCCUGCCGAUCGGCCACAGAAUACAAACUUAUCCAGCCACAUGUUCAAGAAAAUGGCUUGUUCUCUUUCCCCGACAGGUCCUGUUUUUUUGGUACUUCUGAAUAUACCCAGACCAACCGCCGAUAGCGCGGGUCUCUACCUUAGAACCAGGCUUGUUAUCAAACAGAUGACUAUUAUCGAUAGUUGAUAUGUCUAAGCCAGUGAGCAUGAGUACAUUGGCAAGAGUAGGUGAAGCAGGGCCAUGGACGAAUACAAAAGCGUUGUGUGUGUCUAACCAAAAGUACGAGGCAGCUAUCAGCAGUGACUCGUUCCUCUCCAUAUCGGCUAUAGAUAAUCUGAUGCAUUGGUCUAAUUUCCGCUCACCCCAUUGGACUUCAUUUGAAUGGCUGACUCUCAGGAACCAGUCUUUCCAUCCCUUGGUAGGACUGGGCCAGGAACGGAAAGCAUCUUUCCACAGAUCUAAGGAGAAGUUUUCGGCUCUAAAAGGGAUCCUAUUUGUCUCUACGUUUAUCACAUCGGUGGGAUCUGGGUUUCCCAAUGGACCGAGGCACUGGAAGUGAGGUUGAUCGGUAGGAAUCACGAUCUUAUCGGCCAACUCCUAAAGGGUUUGGAGGAUGAAGGAACAGAAAAAAGACAAAGAAAACAAAAAUAAAAAAAGGGGUAUUCAGUAAAUAGAUUUGUAGAUGAACGAGAGUGCAGCAAAAGUAUAAAAAGAAGGGAGUGGUGAGUUAACCUCAGGAGCGACGAAGUUGAUGGCCAUUUCUUCCCGGAAGAAGGAAGUGAUCGAAGACUCUGAGGAUUGCUAGAAGAAAUCAUUGCCGGAGUUCUUGAAGUUCUCGAACAGUGCCGCCGCCAGGAGGGUGGAUUUGGGGCUGUAGAAUGACAAAAUGGAGAAAGAGUACCGGAUAAGGAAGCAUUUAUAGGACAAAACGGGUAGGGGCAAAUCUGACUUAUCUCUUUGCCGCAUCCGUGAAAUCCGAGGGUGUUCAGGUGGAUAUGGUAACUGUUUGCACGAUAAUCAAGGGAUUGCGUAGGUGAUUUGACAGCAUGCGGUCACGGUUUUGAAGAUAUUUUACUGUGUAAGAUCGCCUGGUCGGUCCAUCGGCAGUUUUCUCUAACGGUAAUAUUACCAAUGAGCGCACAGUGGGGAGGUUCGGUUCGAAAGGUUGAGAAAUUCAAGGAACCUACAGGAGAAUCGGGCUGAGGUUGUUUAGAUUUGGCGGCUGAUUACUAAAUUGGGAGAAGUAAUUGUGGAAAGGCGUCAUUACUGAAGAAAAUUUUGGAGCAUUAAUGAUUUUAUACUCCAAAAAUGGGGGGCAUGUGUUGACACUAUUUUUGGACACGUAUCUUUUGAUAUGCACCUGGAUCGGCAGAUGGAGCAAUGGUGACUAGUCUACAGGGGAGUUGCCGAUGGGGAAACAACCGAAUAUGACCAAGUCCAGAAGUGGUGACGUGUUCGUGCCGAUGACCAGUGCCGGUGUUUGCUGAUGGCUGUAACAGGUAGUCUGCCAAUGACUCUAAAGAAAAGCACGGAGGUUGCCGAUUGAUUCGUGGCAGUGCCCCGAUCGGUUACGGCGGAUAGUUUAAUGUUUUCCUUAGUUAUUAGGAUUCAUUUUUUAUAUGGAUUCCGUUUAAAUUGGAAUUCGAGUUCUAGUCAUGUCUAGUUGUAGCUCUUUAGGACAGGGUAUAAAUUUAGACCCCGUGGCAAUGUAAUAGGCAAUCUAUCAAUCAAUCAAACACAAGUUUUUACUCAUAUUCUAGUAUCUACUUUUUCGACGACUUCGUCAUAUUUUCCUUUUAUUACGAGUUCUUAGGAAUUCGUCGAGUCAAACUCGGCGCGUUCUCAAGUUCCGCGUGAGCACCUCUUGGUCGUGACAUCCGGGCGCAUCGCUAUUGUUGGGACCAAAGUGUUCGAGUUACCACCUUUGUCGAUUGUAAGGUCAAAUCGGUUGGCACGCCUUAACGUUUGAAUCGGGUAUUAGCCCUUUGUGUUUGCAAAUCAUCUUUUGCACCAACAGCCCUCAAUCUCAUCAUGGUGAUGAUGAAGAUGCAAAUGGAGAUCUAUCUGAUCAUGAAGAUGUGGAUGAUGACGGUGAUGCACGCAACCGUCGCUGCUAUAACUUCAAUCGUCGCAGUAUGGGAGGUAAAAAUCAUGGUAAUAAUGAUCCUUUUGCUAAAAUUAAAUUUAGCCUACCUCCUUUUGCAGGUAAUGUUGAUCAUGAGGCAUAUUUAGAUUGGGAGCUUGCUGUUCAACAAAAAUUUGAGUCCCAUAAUGUGCCUCCUGAGCAUAGAGUUAUGCUUGCUACUAGUGAGUUUACUAAUUUUGCUUUGUUUUGGUGGAGUGAUCUUUGCAAUACUAAUAAUGCUGCUGCUGUAUCUCAAACUUGGAAUGCUUUAAAACAACGUAUGAAAUCUCAUUUUGUUCCUCCUUAUUAUCAAUGUGAUUUACGUCUUAAACUGCAAAGUUUAAAACAAGGAGAUAAAAGCAUAGAAGCAUACUAUCAAGAAUUGCUUAUUGGUUUAGCACGUUGUGGUGUACAUGAAGAUGAUGCUAAUGCUAGUGCUAGAUUCUUUGGUGGUUUAAAUCAUGAUAUCUAGAACAUUCUUGAUUAUAAAGAAUGGCGUAAUUUUUCCCAAUUGUAUCAUCUUGCUAUAAAGGCAGAACAUGAAGUACAGGGACACAAGCAACACCAGACUUUCAAGUCUAAUAAUGGGAGGAAUUUUCAGCAGUGUUCCGAGCCAGAGACACCUGCAUUUUCUUCUAGGGUAAGUAAAUUGUCUAAUGUGCAGCCCCCACAGCUGAAGAAAGGUGCCACUCCGGGUGCUUCCACUAGUUCCUCUUCGCCUAGCGCUAAAAUCAUUUGCCAUCGAUGCAAAGGCAUGGGACAUGUCAUGAAGGAUUGCCCCAGUCGUCACGCUUUCAUUGCUACCAAGGAUGGAUAUGUAAGUGCUAGUGAUAUUGAAGAUGAUUUAGCCCUUGCUGCUAACAUUGCUGCAGAUCCCACCGAGGGCGAUCAAGACACGGAGACCAUCGCCAUUGACUCCAUUGCUGCCUCUGCGAGCUAUCCUAGCCUUUUUGUGCAGUGUGUGUUGUGUUCACGUGUGGUACAUGAAGAAGAUAAGCAGAUCCAGCGCCACAAUUUGUUCCACAUAUAUCUUAUUGUGUAGGCUUGUCGUGUUCUCACCAUCAUUGAUAGCGGGACUUGCAACAACUUGGUAAGUUCAGAUCUGGUUGAGAAGCUUGGCUUAAUCACAUGACAACAUUCGUAUCCAUAUAAAUUUCAAUGGUUCAAUAAUAGUGGUAAGACUAAGGUAACUAAAUCAGCCUGCAUUAGUUUCUUCAUAGGUUGUUAUCAUGAUACUGCUGAUUUUGAUGUUGUGCCAAUUCAAGCUUGUUCAAUUUUGUUAGGACGUCCAUGGGAAUUUGAUACUGAUGCUUUACACCAUGGUAGAACUAAUACAUACACUUUUAUACAUAAGAACAAGAACAUUACUUUGCUUCCUUUGUCACCAAUGGAUAUUGUUAAGCAUGCUAAAGUGAUAAACAGUAAACCUUCCACAGACAUUUAUAAACAUAAUGAAAAUAAGUUACAUGGAGGUACUUUACAUGCUACAACUUCUACUACUGCUGCAUUAUGUGAUAAUCCAGAUGCACCAUGUUAUACUAUGCUUUGUCAACCUAUUAUGUCUUGUGCAUUGCCUGCUGUCAGUAACCAUUUGCAGGAGUUUGUUGAUGGAGAAGAGUCGAGGAUGACUCUAAUUCUAGAAGGCGGGAUGAUGAGGACAUCGCCAAGAUGGAGUCGAGGACGAUUCCAAUUCAAAAAGGGGAGGAUGAUGAGGACAUCGCUACGCUGGAUAUGUUGACACCAUCGUCUUUUCCAAGUUGCAAUUCUUCUCCAACUCAGCUACCACGUCACUCUCGGAUUCACUAUGCCAGAAAAGCUAAUUAGUGACGCCGCUAGAGGGUCAUUAGUGACGCGGAAAGGACGCAUCACUUUUAUUACGUCUCUGAUGUGGACAAAUUAGUGACGUGUAAAAACGCGUCACUAAUAUGAAUAUACCAGCGACACGUACUGAUAAACUGCGUCACUGAUAUGAAUAUACCAGCGACACGUAUAGAUAAACCGCGUCACUAAUAAGGGCAUAUCAGGGACUCGUAUUGAGGAUACACAUCACUAGUAACGAUAUAUGAGUGACACAUAGUGAGAACACGCAUCACUAAUAAGGAGAUAUGAGCGACACGUACUAACAAUAUGCGUCACUAAUAAUUAGAUAUCAGUGACUCAUAUCAACCCAGCAUGUCACUAAUAGCAAUAAACAAGUGACGCGCAUGAUCGUAAUAGUGACAAGUCUGAAAGCCAUCAGAGCCAUAUUAAAGCCACAUACCACAAUGUUCACAGCACAUACAUAUGAAAGUCAUCAAUACAUUACUACAUGUUCAUAACAAAAGCUCUUCAAAUAGAUAUCAUGUUUAACAGAUCCACAUUUUUUAUAUAAAAUUCAUUGACAGAUUCACAGCUUGUUCGAAAUCCAUCACAACACUGGACUUAACUUAUUCAGUCACAAACUACAUCACUCGACCCAUAUUAAUAAUGGCAAUCACACAUAACUGAUGGUUAACUAGGAGGGUAGAACUCUCCUUUCUUGUUGAUGACCUAUGCCACUAAGAACAUGGCCCACUAAGAACUCUUUCUCUAAUCAUGUGCACAUGGAUGGGCUUUGUCAACACUUCAAAUUCCUGUGUUAAGAUAGAAUUUUGGUCAAAAAGAAAAUUUGGCACAACACAAUGUACAGUACAAUAUAAAAUAUCAUUAUAAAUAGUUCACACUUCAUGGUACACUGAUAGUUCUCAUGAUCAAAAUACAAGUCUGUUAAACCAUAAGUGAUUACAUAGUACACUAGAAUUGUGGAAAUGUGAUGGUUGCUUUAUAGAAAUAAAUAAAAAAUGGCAACACAUAUAUGUCCUAGCUACUUCCUUUCCUUUCAGCUUAAUGUAGGCCAACUACUCAUAGGCUACAACAAAACAUAAAGACAUAAUAAAUGUAAGAAAUGUCAUUGUACUCAAUUUCUACAAAACAACAGGUAGUGGAUGAUCUCCGGUGACAAAUAUACUUAGUGUCAAUGAACACUAUAAUAUGAUAGUGACCAUUCGUGACAACCCUAGCUAUUCAUCUAUCACUAGAGUACAGUACCAAAUAAAAAGACAUGCUCACCCAAUUAUGUAGGUCCAGUGCAAAUCUGCAUGGUCUGAUGUGUGCAUAUUUGUAAAAAAAUAGUUUACCAAGAAUUAGCUCAUACUACUUAUAUAAUCAGAGACUACGUACUGAUUCAUAUUCUUACUGCACAAGAAGUACCACCUACAAUAUGUCUCACAUAGUUACGCACAGACUAGUACUAAGAGGCCAUCACAAACUAAACUAGUAGGAAAUUAUGUCUACGCCUGUCUCAUACUGUUCUCAAUGCUGAACCUCGUCAGACCAUUUAAUUUGUAAGAAAAUAUAUCCAAGUACUGUCCUAUUGUGACAUGGGCUAUAACAACAGCCAUAUUUAAAUUCCAAACAAAACUAAAAUUUGUUCUUUAAAUUUGAUGCUUAGCUACUAUCGCGGCUCAAUUGAGAUGUAUAAGAGCCAAGCUGUUUAUGUGCUGCUACUUGCAUGUAGGAUGCUGCCUUUACUUAGUUUUCAAUUUUCUAUUCUAUGUGCUGAUAAUAAUGUAGGACAAUAAUUGCACAUAAUAGGAUUCAAAAUAAUCGAACCAAGAGAUCUCAAUUCUAGAGAAGAGGUGUUUUCUGAAAUAGAACAUAUUGGAAGAUAUAUAGCUAAGGGGCUCUACAUGAUUAAAGUGAAGAGCAAAGCUGUAGAUGUGGAAACAAGAACAUUUGUAAUAAUUGAACAAGUAAGAUCACCUUGCAGCCCACACAAGCAAUAUAUAUUUGUAUAUACAUUGCAGCCCACUCGGAAUAGGUGAAGCAAAUGAUGACUGAUGCCUUAACUUUUAUAGCAGCACACACCUAGAAAAGUAGUAAUGAAUUAUCUUUGAAUUAAAAAUUCUAUGAUUCAGCAAGCUAUUUCCUCGAGGCAAAAUGAAUUAGUUCAAAUGAUGACUGAUGCCUUAACUUUUAUAGCAGCACACACCUAGAAAAGUAGUAAUGAAUUAUCUUUGAAUUAAAAAUUCUAUGAUUCAGCAAGCUAUUUCCUCGAGGCAAAAUGAAUUAGUUAUAUACUAAACAAAUCAGCAGAAAAUGAUCAUAGAAUAGACACUGCUCACUACUACAGAAUGAGGCAUUGGUCGAUGCCCAAAAUGGCCAAAAACCUCGGCCUUUGCGGCCCGGGGUUAAAGACCCCUUUAGCACCGGCCAGCGCCACAGGCCGAGGCAAAGCCUUUAGAACUGGUUUUUAACACAAACCGGUGCUAAAGGGUGACCCUUUAGCACCGGUUUUGUCCCUGAACCGGUUCUAAAGGUCCGGUUUAUAGGCCGGAUCACACCUCUCUGCCCAUUUGAAACCGAGAGCACCAUUCACCAUUGUUGUUCUUGGAGCUUCUUCUUCCUCAUUUGUUCUUCAUCUCCGACGCCCAUUGUUGAUCUUCUUCGACUCUGUCAUCGUUUCUUCGUGUUUGGAGGUGACUAACUUUUGUCUUUCUUGUCUUUUUCAUGUUGUUUUUGGCUUGUGAUGUUCCCAUUAUUUUUAGCUCAAAUCCACGUUGUUAUUUUGAAUCAUUCAUAUGAAUUAGUAUCCAUAUAUAUAUAUCAUAUUUCAUGGUUGACCUAGUAUUAAUGUAGUUUGCAAGAAUGAAUUAUAGUAUCUUUUUAUGAUCUUAGAAAGUAGGAUAGUUCAAAUUAAUUGGUUUGUUAAUAUCACUUGAUUUAUUUUUAUUACUACAUAAUGUCUAUUGUAUAAUUUAGAAGAUUUGUUGAAGUAACUAGACAAAUAAAGGAUAUUAUUAUGUUCUUCUUUAAUCAUACAUGUUUACUAGUAAAUGUGGAAUUUAUAAUAGUUUAAAAAUUGAGUAUGGAUAGUAGGUGGCAACCGUGACCGGGACUUCGGUCUCUCAACGGGUUCAAAAGCGAUACCGUCCGGAACUCCCUCUCAUUACUUGUGGCAAGUGUGGGCAGAAGAUUUUGAUGGAGUACAAAGUGUCGAAAGAGGGAGUAAACAAGGGUCGUAUAUUCUACAAGUGUCCGGAUCGUAAUGCGAGUUAUUUCCAGACAUUUGCUUAUAUAUGUGCAUAUUUUUUUAAAUGAUAUUAAAUAAACUUUUGAUUCUCUCUUUUAAUUUCAGUGGGACGGUACCGGCGGAUGUACAGGUUGGUACUGGGAGGAAGAAUACAUUGAACACAUUAAGAAAUCUUUUGCACAGGUGGUUGAGGCUGAAGGUGGUGAGGCCGUGAGCCGACGAAAGGAGUUCAAUGACGUUGAUCAAGCGAAUGAUCUAUCUAUUAUAGUUGGGAUCGGACGCGAACUAAUUAUGUUGCUUAAGUGCAUUUUAGUUUUGACUUUUUUAGUGCUAGUUGCGAUUGUAUUUGUUGUAGCCAAGCUUUCCUAAAUUAAUCAACUAUGUAUCUUAGACAUGUUGUGCAAUAAGAUGAGAAACUAUAUGUGUGCAUGGUUUUCAUAAUAUAUAUGUUAUAUUUAAUGCAGAUGGUAACACGUAAUUGGAUGUAUAAUGCCGAUCGGCGCUCCGAAGAGUUCAUUAAUGGCGUGCACUAUUUCUUAAGUGUGGCCGAGACAAAUAAGAGGGACAGUUUCAUGUGCUGUCCAUGUGCCGUGUGUAAGAAUUUGACAGAAUAUUCUAACUCAAGAACUCUUCAUUCACACUUAUUAAAGUCUGGUUUUGUACCCAACUAUAUUUGUUGGACCAAACAUGGAGAAAGCGGGAUUAUAAUGGAUGAAGGUGAAGAAGAAGAAGAAGAAUUGGACCAUGCCAAUAUUAUUGCUCGGUACGGUGGCUUCAAUAAUGUUGCAAUGGGGGAAGAUAAUGAAGAAGAGGUAGCGGCACAAGAUGAUCGGGGCGAUGAUGCUUUUGGUGAUGCCAUCCGUGAUGCACAAAGAGAAUGUGAAAGUGAUAAAGAGAAAGCCAAGUUCGAGCGCAUGCUAGAGGACCACAGGAAAUCGCUAUAUCCCACCGCUGAAGAGGGGCAAAAAAAGCUGGGUACCACACUAGAAUUGUUGCAAUGGAAGGCAAAGAAUGGUACAUCUGACAAGGCAUUUGGGCAGUUAUUGAAGAUCAUAAAAAAGAUGCUUCCGAAAGGCAACAAAUUGCCCACCACUACGUAUGAAGCAAAACAGGUUGUCUGCCCUUUGGGAUUAGAAAUCCAGAAGAUACACGCAUGUCCUAAUGACUGCAUCCCCUACCGUGGGGAGGAAUACGAGAAUUUGGAUGCAUGUCCAGUAUGUAAGGCAUCACGGUAUAAGAUUAGACGAGAUGAUCCUAGCGAUGUUGAGGGUGAAGAACGUCAUAGGAAGAAAAUUCCUGCCAAGGUUAUGUGGUAUGCUCCUAUAAUACCACGAUUAAAAUGUCUAUUCAGAAAUAAGGACAAUGCAAAGUUGUUGCGGUGGCAUAAAGAAGACCGUAAGAUAGACAAUAUGCUGAGACACCCUGCCGAUGGAUCCCAGUGGAGAGCGAUAGACAGAGAAUUCCCAGAUUUUGCAGAUGAUGCUAGAAACUUGCGGUUCGCCUUAAGUAUAGAUGGUAUGAAUCCUUUCGGUGAGCAGAGCAGUAGUCACAGCACUUGGCCAGUUACUCUAUGUAUCUACAACCUUCCUCCAUGGCUAUGCAUGAAGCAGAAGUUUAUUAUGAUGCCGGUGCUUAUCCAAGGACCGAAGCAACCUGGCAAUGACAUAGAUGUCUACCUAAGGCCAUUAGUUGAGGAACUUCAACUUUUAUGGAGCAAACCAGGAGUUCGCGUGUGGGAUGAGUACAAACAAGAGCACUUUGACCUGCGAGCAUUGCUGUUUGUAACAAUCAAUGAUUGGCUAGCUCUGAGUAAUCUUUCAGGCCAGUCAAGCAAAGGAUAUAAUGCAUGCACACAUUGUUAUGAAGACCUUGACUGUGUAUUUUUGAAAAAAUGUUGAAAGGUCGUGUACCUUGGCCACCGUCGGUUUCUUUCUGUGAACCACCCAGUACGAAAGAAAGGCAAGCAUUUUAAAGGCAAGGCAGACCACCGGACCAAACCUCUCAAUCGAACCGGGGAUGAUGUACUCGAAAUGGUCAAGGAUAUAAAAGUGGUAUCUUGAAAGGGACGAGGCAGCGAACCUAUUCCCAAGGAUGCUUAGGGACAUGUACCCAUGUGGAAGAAGAAAUCCAUAUUUUGGGAGCUACCUUACUGGAAUGUCCUAGAGGUCCGCAACGCGAUCGACGUGAUGCAUCUGACAAAGAAUCUUUAUGUGAACUUGCUCGGAUUCAUGGGUGUCUACGGGAAGUCUAAGGAUUCACUUGAAGCACGACAAGACUUGCAGCGCAUGAAAUAACGAGACAACCUGCAUCCAGAAAAGACAGAUGAUGGACGUCAUUACUUAAGCCCUGCUAGCUACACUCUGAGUAAAGAAGAGAAGGAAAGCAUGUUUGAAUGUCUUAGCAGCAUCAACGUCCCAUCUAGAUUCUCCUCCAAUAUCAAGGGAAUAAUUAAUGUGCCAGAGAAGAAAUUCCUGAACUUGAAGUCCCAUGACUGUCAUGUUCUAAUGACACAAUUGCUGCCGGUCGUUUUAAGAGGAAUUUUACCUCCACACGUACGUCUAGCCAUCGUAAAUCUAUGUGCUUUCCUCAAUGCAAUUUCUCAGAAGGCAAUCAAUCCAGAGCAACUAGCUACUCUGCAGAAUGAUGUCGUUCAAUGUCUCGUCAGCUUUGAGUUGGUGUUCCCUCCAUCCUUCUUCGAUAUCAUGACACACCUCCUAGUUCAUCUGGUCAAAGAGAUUCGUAUUCUCGGUCCUGUGUUCCUACAGAACAUGUUCCCCUUCGAGAGAUUCAUGGGUGUCCUAAAGAAAUAUGUCCAUAGUCGUUCCCGGCCAGAAGGAAGCAUUGCCAAGGGCUACGGAACAGAGGAGGUCAUAGAGUUCUGUGUUGACUUUAUUCCAAACCUUGACCCAAUUGGCAUUCCUGAAUCUCAACACGAGGGCAGACUCAGCGGAAAGGGAACACUUGGGAAGAAAACAUAUAUUGGUACGGGAGACGAUUACUUCAAUAAAGCACACUACACAGUUCUCCAGAACUCCUCAUUGGUGGAACAAUAUGUUGAGGUACACAUAGAUUUCCUACGGUCCCAGUGGCCCGGGAAGAAUGAAGCUUGGAUAAUGCGUCAGCACAUGGAAACUUUUGGCGAUUGGUUGCACAAAAAAUGUCAAGGUGAUGAAAACAUUGAUGAGCAGCUUUAUUUGUUGGCCAGGCAACCAUCAUGGCAUGUCCUCACGUACAAAGGGUACGAGAUAAAUGGUAACACAUUUUACACAGUUGGCCAAGAUAAAAGCAGCACCAACCAAAAUAGUGGUGUACGCGUGGAUGCCACGGAUCCAAAUGGAAACAGACAAACAUAUUAUGGACGCAUAGAAGACAUAUGGGAACUAGUCUAUGCAACUAAUUUUAAAGUUCCUUUGUUCCGGUGCCAAUGGGUGAAGAUGACCGGAGGUGAGAUAACAGUCGACAGGAGUAUGGGAUGAAAAGUUGACCAUUAGACAAAAUGUAGAACUUGAUGAGUGUAGCAAACUUUGUAUUCAUGACUUUUCCAUUUGGGACAAUCUAGGGUUCGGUCAAAGGGUGUUUUUAUAAAAACCAAUGCUUUGACUUUGGUCAAACUUGAUCAAAUGGCCCAUUUGAUGACUUCACAUGAAAAACUUUUGAAUACAAAGUUGUUAGAGAUCAUCAAGAUCUACAUUUGAUAUAUUGACCAUUUUUCCAUUUGGAUAAAUUUGAGCCAAUCCGAAGCACAUUUGUUCAAAAUCCAAGACGGGUUUUGGUCAAACUUGGUCAAAUGACAAACUAAAUUACUUCAAAUGAAAAAUUUUUGAAUACCAAGUUGUUAGAUAUCAUCAAGAUCUAAACUUUUUAUAUACACAAUUUUUCCAUUUGAGAAAGUUUAAGUUAACAAUACCCACCAAUUCUUAAAUCUCACACAAACAAUAUGAAACUAUAUGUGUCAAUUGUGGAUUUUCAACUACACCUUCCCAAAACUUUGUCAAAUGCAAAAAUGGUCUAUAUAUUAAAUGUAGAUUUUGAUGAGUGGAACAAUAUUGGUAUUCAUGACUUUUCCAUUCGAGACCAUCUAGGGUUCCGAAACCGCUGCGUGGCUAUGAAUUCUAUGAAAAUUCAAAAUUCAGUGGUUCAAACUUUUCCAAAUGAAAAGUUGACCAUUAGACAAAAUGUAGAACUUGAUGAGUGUAGCAAACUUUGUAUUCAUGACUUUUCCAUUUGGGACAAUCUAGGGUUUGGUCAAAGGGUGUGUUCAUCAAGAUAUAUAUUUUUAUAUGAUUUUUUAUUUGAUGAAAACUAUACCCAACUAGCAUUCCUAGUAAUAAAUAACCAAAAUAUAAAGUUUUACGUCAAUAUGAUGUGAAAAUAAAUUUCCAGUUGAUUGGAUAUAGUUUUUGUAAAUUUAUUGGAAUAAUAUAUUUUUGCAUUAACAAAAUACUAAACAUUUCUUACAAAAUCUUUGCAAAUUAUAAAAAUACAAUAAGAUAUUUAAGGUUAAAAAUUUUCAUGUGUACAUUAAAAAAAAUUACAAUAUAUGUCACUGUUUAAAAAAUAUUAUGCAAAAUAUUUAAUUUACUAUACAAUUUAUAAUAUAAGAGCAUCUCCAACAACUUAGUAUUUCAACAUGCUAUCCUACCAAAUUUGCUAAAAGCAUAAAAAUCCUCCUCCAACAACUCUUAUCUCAACUUGCUAAAUUUCCCAAGUUGCUAUCCAGAGGUUUCUACUGCCGAAAUUUGUCAAGUUGCUAUCCCAAGUUGCUAUCCCGAGCGCAACUUGUUGGAGACACAUAUUCUUUUACCAAGUGAGCGGGUCCCAUCUGUCAUCCUCUAUUUUUACCAAGUGAGAAUAGCAACUUAUUGGAGACACAUCCUUUUUUCUUUUGCUAAACAAAUUAACAACUUGCUAUAACUCAAGAUUUGACAAGUGAAUUUUACCAAGUUGUUGGAGACGCUCUAAACUGUAUAUAUAAACAAUUGAAAAACCCUAAACUAAAAAACAGGGCCUUUAGCACCGGUCCAUAGUGGGAACCGGUGCUAAAGGGUCCUGAAAAUUUCAGGAGCCCACCCUAGCGCGCGCAGGACCCUUUAGCACCGGUCUGUGGCUGGAACCGGUGCUAAAGGGUCCGCCCCUAUAUAUGUGCGCAGGAGCCCCGGAUCCCGGCAGUUCAUCUUCGUCUUCGUCUUCGUCUCCAGCGCCGCCGGGUUCAUCUUCGCCGCCGUCGUUUCGACUCCCUCGCCGCCGCGACCGUCUCCACCAGCGCCGCCGCGACCCUCCACCAACACCGCCGCGGCCCUCCGCCAACGCCGCCGCCGCGGCCAUCCACCUGCGCCGCCGCAGCGGGCCACCAGCUAGAGCGUGCGCGCGGGCCACAACUUCUCCACGUCGAUCUCAAGAACUCCGGCCGUCGAUCUCCUUUCUCCUAUGUAGAUCAAUCGAACUUCGGCUAAAUAAUCUGCAAAAUGAAUGAAUUGUUAUGAUAUAUAUAUAAUAAAUGUAUCUAUAUGUAUAUAUACUAAAUGUAUAUAAAAAAUAUAUAUUUAUAUAUAUAUGUACAUUUGUAUAUAUUGUGUUUUGAAUUGUUUUGAUAUUGUUUGUACUAUUAUUCUAGUAUUUUAGGGUUUUGUAUUUUAGGGUUUUGUAAUUCUAGUGUUUUGUAUAUUUUAAUUAGGGUUUGUACUAUUAUUCUAUUAUUUUUAGUAUAUUAUUCUAGUAUAUUAGUAAUUCUAGUGUUUUGUAUAUUUUAGGGUUUUGUAAUUCUAGUGUUUUGUAUAUUUUAGGGUUUGUACUAUUAUUCUAUUAUUUAUAGUAUAUUAUUCUAGUAUAUUAUUAAUUCUAGUGUUUUGUAUAUAUAUUAUUGUUUGUACUAUUAUUCUAGUAUUAUUUUAAGUAUAUUUUUCUAGUAUAUUAUUAAUUCUAGUGUUUUGUAUAUAUUAUUGUUUGUACUAUUAUUCUAGUAUUAUUUUUAGUAUAUUUUUCUAGUAUAUUAGUAAUUCUAGUGUUUUGUAUAUGUUAUUGAUUGUACUAUUAUUCUAGUAUAUUAUGAAUUAUAGUGUUUUAGUAUAUUAUGAAUUCUAGUGUUAUUGUUAGUAUUAUUUUUUUAGUAUAGUAAUUCUAGUGUUUUGUAUAUUUUAGGGUUUGUACUAUUAUUCUAUUAUUUUUAGUAUAUUAUUCUAGUAUAUUAGUAAUUCUAGUGUUUUGUAUAUUUUAGGGUUUGUACUAUUAUUCUAUUAUUUUUAGUAUAUUAUUCUAGUAUAUUAGUAAUUCUAGUGUUUUGUAUAUUUUAUUGUUUGUACUAUUAUUCUAUUAUUUUUAGUAUAUUAUUCUAGUAUAUUAUUAAUUCUAGUGUUUUGUAUAUAUUAUUGUUUGUACUAUUAUUCUAGUAUUAUUUAUUUAGUAUAUUAUUCUAGUAUAUUAUGAAUUCUAGUGUUUUAGUAUAUUAUGAAUUCUAGUGUUAUUGUUAGUAUUAUUUUUUUAGUAUAUUAUUCUAGUGUAUUUCUUAUCUUAUAUAGAAUAUAUAUAUGUAUGGUUGCAGACAUAGAAAUGGCUGACCGUGCUCAUGAUGAUCCUGAUUAUAUGGAAGAUGCCAUUCAAAAUAUAAUCGACGACGGUAGUCAGUACUUUAUUGAUUACCACGAGAUCAUGCAAGGCAAUCCUACUGAGCAACAAGAGGGCAAUGCCCCUGAGCAACAAUAGGGCAAUGCGCCUGAGCAACAACUUGUCGUGCAACAAGAAGAAAAUACUGGCGAGGUAUGUAAAUGUAAACAUAUAUAAUUAAUGCAUCUCUUACAUUAGAUUUUAGACUUACUUGGUUAUAAAUUUAGUAUUUUUGUUUCUAUAUCUAGGUGUAGCCUUCUGGUUCGACCUCUACGGGGAGAAGCGUACCUCCACGAGGGCCAAAGAAGCCGUUGGAGGGCCGCUAUGUAAUCUCUGAGUUUGAGAUAGCUACAGGCAGACCACUUGGUGAACAUGCAAAUAAAUAUGUUAGUCACUGUGGAUAUCUUGUGAGAGAUCAAAUACCAAUCAGUGCUCGUGAAUGGAGAGAGAAGCGAGGUGCUCCUAAGAUCAGUUUUGUCUCUGAUCAUGACAAGGAGUUAGUUUGGAAAGCCGUCACAGACGUUUUCACCUUCGACACCAACGAUGAAGAGUUGAAGGUGCGAAUUUAUGACUGGACUAUGAAGAAGAUGGCAGUAGUCUUCCAGAAUUGGAAGAAGACUUUGUACAAUAAAUAUGUCAAGAAAAACGAGACUCCAAAUUUCAACCUCAAGCAAUAUGUAAAGCUGAGGGCCUUCUAGGAUGACUUUGUGCAGUACAAAACAUCAGAAGAGGGCGAGGAACGAGCCAUUAGAAACAAAGAGAAUGCAAGUAAAAAGACAUACCACCAUCAUAUGGGAUCAGGUGGUUAUAAGAGUGUUGUUCCCAAGUGGGACCGAAUGGAACAGGAGAUGCUUGUUAGGGGGGUCACACCCGAGACAAUAGCAAAGAAUUGGAGCGAGCGCUCCAAGCAUUGUUUCUACGGUCAUGGGGAAGCGUGGACCCAGACACCGGGGCGCUAGUUUGGGGCCAAGAAAUCUCUAGAGCAGCAGAGAGACUAGUCCGUGCACGAGAGGCGGUUCAGUCUGGUGAGUUCAGGCCUAACAGGGAGAAGGAUGAACUCACCUAUGCGCUUGAAAAUCCUGAGCACGGUGGGCGUACGAGAGGCUAUGGGGCAGUUCCGUGGCUGCAAUUAUUCCAAGCCGAUCAAGAUACCUACAGAAGCCGCCAGAGAAAGAAGGAUGAGGAGGCAGAGCGGAUCCGCCGCCUGGAAGCUUUUGUUCUGCACUCAGAAGAGCACGAGAAAGCUCGUGAAGAAUGGAUGCAGGCGGAGAUUCAAAGGCAAGUGCAAGCAGCACUUAGUCAAAUGACGAAAGGGCAAGGUACAUCACAGCCUGAGGUCAACGUUAGCCCCCCAGGCCAGUUGAAAAGCAGCUGCGCAUCCAUGGAAGUACCAACCAUUUAGGAUGACACGAAGCUACACUUCCCCGUGGAUGAAGUCACAGAGGCUUUUACUACCUGUGAGGUGCAUGUACCAGAUGGGAAUGCAACAAAAAAGGUGGCUAUCGCUGUUGUCAACCCUAUCGACCGAACGAGAACUCCAAGAAUCCAUAAUCGACCAGUACCUGGUGGAUAUGCUAGCGUCUCGGUUGAUAGGGUUGAGAAAGGUUGUGGUAAUGUGCCUCUAGACAUAGAAGGGGGAGACGGAGAGAAGACCUUAGGUGAAGCUGAGAAGACAUUUAUUUGUUGGCGUAAGCGGUUCAUAAUUAUUCCUCAACAUAGGUUUGUGUGUGAUUUUAAUUCGUAUAUUAUUUAUUAUGUAUUGAAAUUAAAAAAAAAGUUUGCUCACAAAACUUGUAAUUGUUUUCUUUGCAGGGACUCCUCCAACCUAAGUCCAGUUCUCUCCCCAGCGCAUCAUAGUGCUGCGAGCGGUGACAAUGCUGGAUCUCCUCCAACACCUGCGGCGGCCACACCGACCCCGCCACCGCCUCCACCACGGUCUCCACCUCCUCCACCGAGGUCUCCAACUCCUCCACCGUGUUCUCCAACGCCGAAAAGAUCGGCCCCACCACCUCCACCGCCUCCACCACCCUCUCCAAAGAGUGCACUGUUGGUCCCCUCGCCUCCGAAGCGAGGUAGUUGUCGACGGGCCUUAAGUACUAAAAUUAAUAAUCAAAUAAACAUGAAAAAGGAUCAAUAUGAAACAAACAUCUAGAAUUAGGGUUUUAUCUGACAGAAUUCCACGAGCUUUGGUGUUUAUCUAUUUCUGCAGGGGUUUAUCAGAGAAUAUGGAGAGAAGGCCCACAUGUCAUGUUUACAACGAGAUAAUUACGUGCCGCAAAAUUUUCCUCAAUCUAGAAGGGUCCAGAAGCCACGGGAACGAACGGGAAGCGAUUCGGGCUCGGGGGAAAGGCGCCCGCCCACCCCCCUUGGGCGCCCGCCCAGGCCAGGAGUCCAAUCGGGACUCUGCUUUGGGACUACGCUCCACCGACCUAAAGGAUCAAUCUAAACCAUACAAUCUAUGUCGGUUUGAUCCAAUGGCUCAUGUUCACUUAAGGGGACUAUAAAACCAGACCCCCUGGCCCCUGGAGGAGAGAGGAGAAAUCAUUAUUCAGAGGUAGCCAUCAAAGUUAGGGUUUAGAUCUCUCUCCCACAGAGAAUUAGAAUUAGCUACUCCCUAAUCCUUCAAGUUUAGAGGUUGAUUAGAUAGCAAUUAGAGAAGUAGAGCACUACGCUCUGGAUUCGGAUAUUCGGUAAUAAAGAUUGGUAUUAUUCAUAUCUUUCUCUAAUUCUAUUGUUCUAAUUGCAUUAUGUCUCUAAUUAUUAUGUUCUUAGUUUGCUCUAGUUCUAUAUUUGAUAUAGUUCUAAUUGAUAAUGAGUUUAUGUAUAAGUUUGCAAAGCGCUUAGCUCUUGACGCGAGGGAGUUAGGUGAUAGAUCACAUGUGAGCGUGGUGCUUAGAUGUUAUUUAUCUGCAAAUGUAUCCUAUUGGCCGAGUCGUGUGGUAGUUCGCGAUAGUGACAGCUUCGUUGAUUCUUAUAUAGUCCACCCUCCGUUGAUAGGACAGGCAGAACCGGUAUUGUGGAGUAAGUCAUGCGAUGUUCUGAUUUACUUUAUCAAUGUUCCUUAUACAUGAAUGAAGAGUCUUUUAUGCUAUAUAUGAUCUUGAAGAUAACUAGAGUAGAUUAUGACUUAGUAGUUAGUAGAUAAUUUAGAAUCCAUUCUCUAGCUAAUCCGACAUCACCUACAUAUAUGAGGAGUAGCCUAUUUUCUAAUCGCUGUGCUAUCUACCCAUGAACUUAUACUUUAUUAUCAUUAUCUUUAUGGUUUACCCCCUGCUAAAGUAAGUGACUGUGUGACGAGUUUCUCAUUAGUAAUCAUGUUCUUGCAAGUUUAUCUCUAGUCUAUGCCUUGAUAGAUUUUGUCCUUUGAUUUAAUUCCAUCUUCUUGAGAUCCCUAGAGCAAAAUUAUAAAUAACGAUACCUGGAAUACUUAUCCUGGUGAAAUGCUACAAUGAGGUGUUUUAUCUGUACGCUUGCGGAUAGAAUAGAUUAUUUUCUAGAGAGCCUUUACAUUUAUAAAUACCUUUGUACACUCUGGCGUCAUGCUAGGGAUGACAACCUAGUAUCUAAGUGGUGUUAGUUAGUGUCAACAAGCAUUUGUGGCGCCGUUGCCGGGGAUCUUAUAGGAAUUAUAGGAAUUAUAUGAGCCUCAGGAAUAAGUCAUAAUAGGGAACAAAAGGGUAAUAUUAAGGAAAGCCAGAAAAUCAAUCAAGGUUAUUCAUAUAAAAUAUUAGACUAGACUAUAGAGAAAUAAUUGCAUAAAACAGCUACUAAGUGAGAAAUCAUAACAAGGCACCGCUGCUUUGGCAGGUUCACCCUGUUGUUUUUCUAUGUUUAUAUUUUUAUACAGGGUAUAACAGGAUUGACAUUGGGUACAUUCAACUCUUCAUCAUCAGAACCAAAGCAAUCAAGAGAAGAAGAAGCUAGCUACCAAUUGCUGAAGCUAUGGCACAAAAGACCUUGCAAGAAUUCUCUGCUCCAAGUCUUGACAACAUUCCAACUGGUCCAAGAUUUGCAGUAGAAGAAGGAAUACCUGAGUUUGAGCUCAAGUCAAGCCUCAUCAAUUUGGUACAAGCUACACAAUUCAGUGGAAAGGCACAUGAAGAUGCCAGUGCACACUUGCAGAAUUUCUUAGAGAUUGAAAGCACAAUCCACAUCAACGGAGUUGACAAAGACGUCAUACUGCUUCGCCUCUUUCCAUUCUCACUAGAAGGAAAAGCGAGGAAGUGGUUCUACACUCAUCAAGAUAACAUCAACAACUGGACGAACUUGUCAGAUGCCUUUCUAUCAAAGUUUUUCCCUGUAGGCAAAACAACUGCCUUAAGAGGAAAUAUUGUCAGUUUCCAACAGCAGAAGAAAGAAACCAUUUCAGAAGCAUGGGAGCGUUUUCAAGGAUACAUUUCAGAUUGUCCUCACCAUGGAAUGGCCAAGUGGUUACUUAUGCAGACCUUCUACCAUGGAUUAACCCAGAAGGCUCGUGAGUGCCUAGAUGCAUCUGCUAAAGGAUCAUUCUUGGAACUUACAACUAGAAAAGCAGAGAUAAUUUUGGAUAAGAUAGCAGAAAACCCAAGUUGGUUCCAAGAUAAAGCUCAACAUUGUCAUCAAACUGAAGAAAUACCCGAAGAAGUAAAUGUGUUAUCAAGUAAGAUGGAAAAUUUGCUCCAUUGGAUUGACCAGAGGGCCAAGUUCAAAGAAGAUCACAGGGCCAUUGAGACAGCAUACAAAUAUCAACCAACUUCGAGUCAACCCAAUAGCAAAGGUAUGAAUUCAGGUAAUACUUUCAAGCAACUUUCAUUAAAAGAGAUAAUUGCUCAACAAACCAAAAUUAAUGAUGAAGUUAAGCAAAGGCUAGAUACAAAUGAAUCGUCUCUAAAAGAUAUACACAACAAAAUGGAUUUUCUACUAACUGCCUUUGAUGAGCAAAACACUCUUAAUAAAAGGGUAGAGCUUAAAUUAAUAAAGUUAGCUGCUGCACUGCCUGUUGCUACUAACAUUGAGCAGGUAAAGAAUAUAACUACUAGAGGAGGUAAAGCCACCAGAGAUCCACCAUACCCAAAAGAGAAACAAAGAACAUCAGCACCAGUGCAACCAGCAGUGAUAGAAGAAGAAAGCCCAGUUGAAGCAGAAGAUCUGCUACAACCACCAAGAACUGGAGAAAUGAGGAAAGAUUUUUACGACACCAACUAUUUGCCAUUUCCCAGAAGAAACAGAGGACUGCAGUCGGAUGAGCAGUUUGGUAAGUUUGUAGAGGUCAUUCAGAAAUUAUAUGUCAACAUACCUCUACUUGAUGCCAUACAGGUACCUACAUAUGCAAAGUACAUCAGAGAUAUUCUUAAUAAAAAGAGACCACUGCCCACCACUGAGGUUAUCAAGCUGACAGAAGAAUGUAGUGCGGCCAUCCUCAACAAACCACCAAAGAAGAAGGAAGAUCCAGGAUGCCCCACUAUUGACUGCUCGAUCGGAAACCAACACUUCAACAAUGCACUUUGUGAUUUCGGAGCAAGUGUCAGUGUGAUGCUAGCAUCAGUCUACAAAAAGCUUAAUCAUGCAAACUUAGAACCAACAUCAAUGUGCCUACAACUAGCGGAUCAAUCGGUUCGACACCCGUUGGGCAUCGCCGAGAACAUUCCAGUCAAGAUCAGAGAUUUCCUGGUGCCAGUAGACUUCGUAGUACUGGACAUGAGUCCUGACUCAAAAGUGUCCAUCAUCCUUGGAAGGCCAUUUCUGAGCACUACCAAUGCCCACAUUGAUGUCGGAAAAGGAGAAAUCAAGUUCAACAUAAACGGUCAAGAAGAACACUUCACAUUCAAACCCAGAUUAGAGAGAGACUCUACAGUGAAGGAAGUUCAUGAAGAACCACUGGAGACACCAUCUCCGGAGGAAGGAAACUCAGAAGAUUAAAAGAUUUGGAGGUCCAGCUUGGGGGACCUAAAAAUCCCAAACCCUCAUCGGGAGGUAAAUCGGUAUUUAUCCGCAUUAUUAAUUUUCUCAUAUUUAAUUUCUUGCAUAAUUAAAUCUUGCAUUAGUCACAUUUAUUCAUAGCAUUAUUAUAAUAAUCAAAAAGCCCCAGAUAAAUAAUAUUCGUGGUGUGUAACAACCCAUAUUUAUUAAUUAUUGUGGGGGCACAAAAAUAUUUUCCAAUAUCAUUUUCAAUAAGUUUCGAUUCUCAUAGAUUUUCCUGCAUUAUAUUUAUUUAUAUUGAUCUUCUAGAAGCAUGACCCACACUCUUUGGGUCCCACAUGUCAUACACUUCACCUCACAUACAUCCCAUCAUAUAAUUUCAUCCACCAAUAUGUUUCCACUCACCUGACAUCUUUCCACCGUCCAACCACUAUCAACACAAUAUUAUUCUGCGUGAGAUCAAAGCAAGGAAGCAAGUGGAGGAGGCACACCCAGGAUGGACACCAGGGGUGGGCGCCCGCCCACCUACCAUGGGCGCCCGCCCUGUCCCCUGCUCAGCCUAUAAAAGGCCACCUCCAGCUCCCCUUCUCUUCACACAAACACUUCAAAAAACCACACAAAUCUCAGUUUCCCGAGAAGGAGCUUUUGUAGUGAAGAGAAGAGAGUAGAGAGAAAGAGGAGAGUGGAUGGGAAGGUUGGAGUUCUUUUGAGAGAGUGAUUGUCACCUAGCAAGUAGUGAUCCCGUUGUCUAAGCGGAAGUAAAAGUUGUUUAGGGGGAGGCUCUACCAAAAUAGAAAUUUGUUUUGAACGAUUAACCCCUGGACUACUGACACUCGGACAGCUGACCACUAACAUUUUAUCUCACAUUUUCCACCAGUUGUGUUUUUGCCAACUUCUGUUUGCAGGAUGUUUAAGAAGGUGAAGAAUGCAGGGAAGGCUCUCAAGAACAUUGGUACAAGGAGUUCAACCCGACACUCCUCACAGCCAUCAGAGAUGAGCGUCGACCCGACACCCACACAAGCUCCAUCAUCUUCAUCAGGCCAGCAAGUCAAGGUCCUUCUCAAGAUAGGAGACCUUGGACUGAAGACCCGAAGAGAGAAAGAAGUUUAUCAGCAAUUGAAGAACAAGGAUUUCAUUCACACCCCUACUAUCGAUCCAAUCCUACUACGAGAAACAGGUAUGGACACUGAAUUUGACUUAAUUUUUCAGAUGAUAGGUUGGACAAAUUUUUGGAAUAUAACUGAGCUGGGUUCUCGUCUUCUCACCCUCGAAUUUCUUUGCACUUUACAAUACUAUGAGGGGGGAAUUGUUUUUCGGAUGUUUAAACAGGAAAUUAUGUUAUCUUGGAGAGAGCUGAGCGACCAUCUUGGUUUCUCUUCAAGAUGCAUCCUGAACAUUGACUCCGAUUUACCCAAUUUUGAGAGACACCAGAUUUGGAGAGAAAUAUCUAGAGAUAAUUUUUACAGUCAAGCCCGAACCAGUGACAUGGAACACCCCACUCUUAGGAUGUUCCACAAAUGGCUUGGGUACAAUCUUUUCUAUCGCGAUGAUAUUAGGAAAGUAAGAGUAGGAGAUUUACAACUUUUAUAUGCUGCUAUUAGUAAAGUACCUACUUCACCUGUUACACUAUUAGUUUCACAUUGGCUUAGUAUACCUAGUCUUCAGGGACCAGUAGGAUGUACUUCACUUAUCACUCGUCUAGCCACUAAUCUUCACUUACUAGAAAACUCAUCGUUGGACUUCAUAGAAGAAUUAAGAAUUUAUCAUGGCUAUGACACAUUUAGACAAGCUCGGAUGUUAAAGAAAGAGGGGAAUAUAAUGUAUAUGCUAUAUGAUGAUAAAGGCAAGAUUUGGUUACCUAACCCGAACCUUGGCCUCUACUCUGUGCAAAACUUUUUGAUUGAGAUUGCAGCAACACCAGUGAACUAGAGAAGUCCACAGCGAGUGGCAUCAGAAAGGAUAACCACUCACCGAGAACGCACUUGGUAUGGAGCUGACCCUGGACCAGAAGAAGCAGCGCACCUGCAUUAUUGCGAUUACAAUCCACGAGUCCUUCGAGACCCAUGGGCUCGUCAUGCCACAACCACAAGAGCCAACAGAAGAGACAUGGCCGGAGAGCCAAGAUCACCAGUGGACAAACCCGCCUUUUCAUACGGGCAGAUACUCCACUGAUCCAUAUGGAGCUUCAGGAUCCAGACCUCCACCCCAAUUUGAUGGAGGACGAUACUCCGACGCCUCCUACGCCUUCACGAAUGACUACUAUCAAGAGGCCGGUGCUUUCUUCACUCGUACCGACAACACCCUCCUCGACAUCCAGAACACGCAAGCAGAACAUGGAAGACUCCUGGAAGAGCAACAAAAAUGGAACCUGGACCAUGCCGCUGCGGUACAAGAGCUGAGACAAGAUACAACAACAAUGAAUGAUAACAUCACAACCAUAAUGCGGUUCUGGAACAUCGGGUAAGACCCACGUCAACAUCCAGCUUGGGGGAGUUCCUCCCUAAUUUAUCAAGUAAGUUUUUAUUUGCUCUUCUUAUUUAUUCUAUUCUGUCUUAGUAUUUUAUUUAUCUUAAAAGAAAAAACUUAGAAAACCAAAUAAAUAUUUUCUUGCUUUAAUUUACUGCACUUUAUAAACAUGAAAACAAAAUAAAAAGAGUGCCUAGAUAAGUGUGUUUUAUUUUUCUACUAAGUUUAAUCUCUAAAAAAAUAAAAAGACCAAAAAUAUGCAUGAUGGAAAUGAUGAACAGUGGCUCUGUUUGCUUACUUACAAGUACCUAGCUUUUAUAUUAGAAUUCUUCCAGGAAUUACUAAAACUAAAAUUACUAUCUUUGGGAAGCAUAAAACUAAAGUCUAGGUAAGAGAAAGGCAUGAUAUAAAGUUGAGCUACUGUUUAUCUUGUUUCUACUACACUAAGUUCUGGAGAUUUAUUUUGAAAACUUACAAGUCACAUGAUGAGUUCCUAGCAUAACAAACUACCUACCACAGCCAUACUUGCUAUAACAUCUUUUACUAUAUUUACAUUGAGUUUGAUCGAGCUGUGUAGACCCUUAGGAGCUUUUCAUGUGGUUAAAUUAAGAUAUUCACUUGCACACAUCUACCACAGCAUUCAUCAUCAAUCAUUAAAAUUGCUAAAAAUAUUAUCACUCACUGUCCCGAAUAUUGUUAUUCUCUCUCUCUAAAAAGAUUCAAUGCAGAAGAGGCAUGGGUUAUGUAAAAAUAUAUACGAGGAAAUAAAAAGGGGCAAGUGCCCGGGAACCUCGAAAAAGAAAGAAAAAGAGUGAGACGAGAGGUAAAAAUGGACAAGUGUCCGAAGUAGAAUUAGGGGUACAAAGAUGCCCGCUUGAGCGGAAAAAAUGGACAAGUGUCCGACAGUAGAAUUAGGGGUAUCUAUUACCCACCUGAAAAAAAAAGAAGAAGAAGAAGAAAGAAGAAAGAAAAAGAUAGCCCAUGUUCUCCCAAAGCAAAGAUCAAAAAUAAGAGGAGAGAUAGCAAUAUGAGGAGCAAUGAGAACUAAGAUUUAUUAACACUAUUGCAUUUUCACCAUCACUAUCAUUUACUCCACCACACAUGCACAUCUUGAUUUAAUUAUAUGCUGAGUUCCUUUGGAUCCAUGGCUCAAUUAGACAACAUAUGUAUGAGCUGUUUUCCACUCCUAUGAGCUCCACUUAAAUAUUCUAUUAGCUAUAGGUAAGUGACAUUAUGGUAAGGAUCCACAAAUACCACAUAUAGAGAGACUUGAGAGAUCAUUGCUGGGAACUCUGAGUUUUAUUUUGAAAACUUAGGAAAAACUCUAGAACAAAGGUGAAGUAUAGACAAGAGGGAUAGUGCUUGACUUAACUAUUUUGUCUUUUGAUUACAUAAGAUUUAAGUGCAGGUACUAAACUCCAUAACACUUCACUCUAAUCUGGAAGAAUUUUUAUGUAAAAGCAUGUGUGCCUGUCAGGAAAGAAAACAUCGAAGCAACUCCUGAUCCGUCUAAGUUUAGCUAUUUGCUCAGGGACGAGCAAAGGGUAAGCUUGGGGGAGUUUGUUGACGGUCCUUAAGCACUAAAAUUAAUAAUCAAAUAAACAUGAAAAAGGAUCAAUAUGAAACAAACAUCUAGAAUUAGGGUUUUAUCUGACAGAAUUCCACGAGCUUUGGUGUUUAUCUAUUUCUGCAGGGGUUUAUCAGAGAAUAUGGAGAGAAGGCCCACAUGUCAUGUUUACAACGAGAUAAUUACGUGCCGCACAAUUUUCCUCAAUCUAGAAGGGUGCAGAAGCCACGGGAACGAACGGGAAGCGAUUCGGGCUCGGGGGCAGGGCGCCCGCCCACCCCCCUUGGGCGCCCGCCCAGGCCAGGAGUCCAAUCGGGACUCUGCUUCGGGACUACGCUCCACCGACCUAAAGGAUCAAUCUAAACCAUACAAUCUAUGUCGGUUUGAUCCAAUGGCUCAUGUUCACUUAAGGGGACUAUAAAACCAGACCCCCUGGCCCCUGGAGGAGAGAGGAGAAAUCAUUAUUCAGAGGUAGCCAUCAAAGUUAGGGUUUAGAUCUCUCUCCCACAGAGAAUUAGAAUUAGCUACUCCCUAAUCCUUCAAGUUUAGAGGUUGAUUAGAUAGCAAUUAGAGAAGUAGAGCACUACGCUCUGGAUUCGGAUAUUCGGUAAUAAAGAUUGGUAUUAUUCAUAUCUUUCUCUAAUUCUAUUGUUCUAAUUGCAUUAUGUCUCUAAUUAUUAUGUUCUUAGUUUGCUCUAGUUCUAUAUUUGAUAUAGUUCUAAUUGAUAAUGAGUUUAUGUAUAAGUUUGCAAAGCGCUUAGCUCUUGACGCGAGGGAGUUAGGUGAUAGAUCACAUGUGAGCGUGGUGCUUAGAUGUUAUUUAUCUGCAAAUGUAUCCUAUUGGCCGAGUCGUGUGGUAGUUCGCGAUAGUGACAGCUUCGUUGAUUCUUAUAUAGUCCACCCUCCG